UUUUAACAAGGUAUAGUAUAUAUAGAUAGUAAAACAUAGGGUUGGUCGAGGUGACCGACUUUUGAAGUAACAUCAGAUGUCAAGGUGAGGGGGAGGGUCAAUAGUCCUUAGUACGACCAGUGCUACUCUAGGUCAGCGGUCCUACAGUCAGCACGGCUUUGAUACCACUUAUGUCACACCCGGUUUUGGAAGGCAAACCGAAUGCGAACUAUGUACGUGCCAGGAUCAGAACUCACGUACACAGCGAUUACAUAAAUGAACAUCAUCACACAAUGCUCGAGUAAUAUCAUAAAAGAGUACUUAUUACAUCAUUGAGUCAUGGACAUCCACAUAGUCAUUGUCUUAACAAGUAAAUCAAAGUACUAGCGAAACGCAGUAAAGAUAAGGCCUUCACAGGCAGCUGACUGGGGGUUGCCGCCGACCCACACCUAGAAUUCGUCGUAGUCUUGGAACUCCUGGAAGUCUCCUUCCACGGCUUCGCCUUCUCCUGAGCAGUGGUUACAAUGCGGACAACCUGGUGUUUUGUGGUAAAGCAAGGAUGAGUACACAUCAACGUACUCAGCAAAUGUCCCGUUUGGCUGAAGUGGACUAGCUUUAUGUGGGGUUAGGCUCAAGCAGUUGCUUUUAGUUGGUCAGGUAUUUAUCAUUAGUAGGAGCCAGAUUUUAGCAUUAACCAACCCGUAAACCAUUUCCUCAUCGAGGAACAUCAUCAUCAUAGUCGAACCAAAACCAUAACAUAAUCCAUGUAUCUCGAACCAUCUGUAUCUCUAAUCAAAGAGGAUCCCAAGGCUGCUCUUAACCGUGAGCACGGCUGAUAUACCAGUUUCACUACCCUCUGCAGAGGUCGCACACUUUACCCAUGAGUCAUGAUUCCCUUUCUACCCGGGGAGAGCUAAUCCCCAUUGACCACUACCUAGGUGGUCCGGCAGGGCAUCACUACAUAGCUUUUACAAAGAUUCCCUAGAGAUCAUAGCUGCCCGUUAGGUUUCUCCAGUUUGAUAAACACAGUACCCCUCCCCGCAGGAGAGUGGCUAACAAAGAGCAAAACGAAAGAACCUCGGCACUCAGCCUCGGCAGAGCAAGCACUGUGCCUGGACCCCAUUGACGGCACGACGGCUAAGCAACUACACCUCUAGUUCACCCAAUUAAUCAGCUAAGGGCAUCCCAUUUCACCCUCAUGGUUGCACUGUUAUCCCGGGUGGUCUCUCAACGAACCUGUCCUUACGGAGAGGUACUCAGGAAACAGCCUGAGCCCCCUAGAGUAUCACAAGAUCAUCAACAUCAUCAGGAUAACAGUAUCAUAAAUAGUCACAUCAUGUUCAUUGAUUAAGUUAAGGCAAUAGGAGAGUGCUAACCAUAACAACCCAUAAGGUCAUCAAGGAUAAAGUAAAGUGAAAAGCUAGUCAAUCCUUAGGUUUCGAGUAAGUAAUGCGGGGUAGUAAGUUAUAAAUGAAUAGGACAUAAUAGGACAGAGGACACUUGCCUUCACCAAACUGCUGAUCAGGGACUUCCUCUGCAACCUCCUCGGGAAACACAGACUGCUCGUUGUCUACGUAAAGUAAUCAUUCACACUAUGCAAUUGGGAAGAUAACAAACAAAAAGCAACAUACCAAACAUAUGCAGAAGAGAGAUCACAAGUUCAUAGUUGAAAAGGGAUAGGCACUCUGGUGUUCCCUAGGUCUGGGGUAGAGGACUAUACAAAGUGAUUCAUUAUCCACUAAUCAGGUUUAAGUCAGUAGAGGGAUUAAAUCAUUACAUGGUUUUAAGUUCCUAAACUUAGGUGUUUAAGUCCAUAAACUUAAGUAUUCUAACUUUUAUUAAAGUCUACCAACUUCUAAUUAUCUCAAAUAGGGUUCCAAUAGCCUUAAUCCUAUCCUAGUGAUUAACUAUUAAUUGGUACAUGGAAACAGCAGGGAAACAUUGUUUAAAUAGAUAGACAAAAACAUCAUGAGCAUUUUGCAAUUUGAAGCACUUAAUUUGGAGUUCAUAUGACAAAGUUAUGAAUUUUACAAGUUUAGGGGUUAAAAAUAUACCCUAAAUACCUAUUUUGAAUUAAAUAAAAGGUCCAGGGACCUAACUGAGAGAAACCAGGGACGGCGGGUUCAAAUUCUAGAAAACCGGGGGUCUCUUUAAGAAAACACGCGGGCGAAGGGGUAUCGGGCUACUACGGCCGUCGGAUCUCAGGCGAACGGCCAGGAUUAGAUCCUGCGGGCGGGCGCGCGAGCGCGCGGCGGCCUGGGCGGCUGACAGGCGGGACCGGGCGGGCAGCGCGGGGCGCGGGCAGGCUGACAGGCGGGACCGGCCGGCAGCGCGAGCGCGCGGGCGGGCUGACAGGCGGGACCGGCGGGCAGCGCGAGCGCGCGGGCGGGCUGACAGGCGGGGCCCAACGGCAGGGAGGCGGGGUGUGGGGGAAGCGGGCCUGGGCCGCUGGAUCUCUGGCGGACGGCCAGGAUGGGCUUCGGCCUAAUUGAAACGGGACCGCCCGAUCUGGGACGGACGGUGGGGAUCGGGUGGCCGGCCUGGGUUUCUUCUACGGCUAGCUGGGGCGGCGGCGCUUGUCCCCGCGGCGGAGGACUCGCCGGAGACGAGGGGCGCGGGCGUUUGGCGGGGCUCUGAGGCGACCUGAUCGGCCGUGAAGGUUGGGGAGGGCACGGGGAGUCCUCUGGUGGGGUCUGGGUCGGGGCAGGGGCACCGGAGGGGGGCGGUUCACGGCGGAGCGGCUCGGCGGCGGCAUUAAUCUACUCCGGCGAGGAAUUAAGCGCAACAGAAGGCAAUACACGGGUCGAUAGGGGCGGGAGAGGUUCUUUACCUCAAGGCGGGCUCCGGGGACUCCUCGGCGGCGGCAAUGGCGCGACGGUGGCCCGGGGCGACGGUGGCGGACCUCCGCGGCUGCACGGGGAACGGCGGGUGAGCGCGGGCAGAGAGAAAUAGGGAGGGGGAGAGGGAAUUGGGGCGCGUCCCGGGUUGCGGACGCCGGGGCGAAGCUCACCGUGGCAACGGACACGGCGGAGCUCCAACGGCGGCCGGGAAACGAGCUCGGAACGGCGGGGAUUUGUGGCGGCGGUGCUCUGGCGUGCGCGCAGCGAGGGAGAGGUGGAAGAGGGGUCUGCUGGAGCGCAAAUGAGGGAGGGGGAGAGGGCGAGUGGGGCUCUGGGCUCAAGUGGCCAGGGGCGGGGCGGUUGCGAGCUCCACGCGCGACGUGGGCGCGGAGAAGGCGGCCGCGCGCAGCUCGGGCGGCGGUUACGCGAGGACGACGGGGCUGACAAGCCGGGCCCGCGAGCAGAGAGAGAGGGGAGAGCGGGGGCGGGCGCGCGGAAGGCGGCCGCGCUGACGGGCGGGCCCGCCAGGGCAGAGAGAGCGGGGGGGGGGGGGAAAGAGCGCGCGCGCGGGAUGGGCCUAGCUGGGCCGAAAGGCUGAGGGGGGCGGGGGAGUGGGCUUCUUUCUCUUUUCUUUUUAUUCUGGAAUUGUUUUUCCCUUUUCUUUUUAUUUUCUCCAUUUGAUUCAAAUCCAAAUAAGCCACAAAUUCAAAUUAGACCUUCCAAGAAUUAUGCACCAAGCAAAAGUGAAAUCUAGGGUUCAACAUGAUGCAACAAUUCAUACUCCCUUAGGGUUUAACCUAUCAAACUUAUAAUUACAAAUAAAAUAAGCACUUUUCUCCUAUAGAAAUGAAAAAGAAAAGAAUGAGAAAGGAUGAGAAAAGGGAAGUAACACCUGAAUUUGUGAAUAUGAGCAAAGAAAUUUUAUACCCCCAAAUUCAGGGUGUUACAAGGGGUUAUGAAGCUAGUCUUCGGCUCGUCUUCCUUCUUCAUCCAAAUUUGAUGGUAGCCUGAGUAACAAUCCAACAGACUCAUGAGCUCUAAAGAAGCUGCUGCAUCUACUAGAGAGUCUAUUCUUGGCAAUGGGAACUCGUCCUUUAGACAAGCCUUGUUGAGAUCUGUGAAAGCAAUGCACAUUCUCCAUUUACCAUUGGCCUUCUUCACCAUAACAGUGUUGGCUAGCCAUUCUGGGUAUUUCACUUCUCUGAUGACACCAGCACUAAGAAGUCCCUUUACUUCAUUCCGAGAACCUUCAGCUUUGUCUUCAGACAUCUUUCGAAGCCUUUGUUUUCUUGGCCUGAAAGAUGGAUCCACAUUUAGUGAAUGUUCAAUGACAUCUAUGUUGACACCAUAGAGAUCAUUGGCUGACCAAGCAAAGACAUCUUUGUUGUUGAAUAAAAAUCUUAGCAAAGUCUUCUCUUGCUCUUCAGACAGCUGAGACCCCAGCAGUACCCUUUGUUCUGCCUAUGUCUUCACAUAGGAGCAUAGGCUUCGGCUGAUCCGCUGAAGCAACCUUCUCCCUUUUGUAUUUAUACUGCUGACAGGCUUCGGCUCCGUCUAUAUUAUGAAUUGCCUUUGAAUCUGCCCAGUUUCCUUCGGCCCUUCUGGCAGCUUCUUGACUUCCAUGGACAGCAAUGGGCCCUUGUUCCGAAGGUAUUUUUCAAUCUUCGAAGGCAUUGAUUGUCCCUCGACCAAUGAUUGAAUUAUAGGGGUACUCCAUGUCAACAAUGUCAAAGACAACCUGUUUAGUCCUUGUGUUGUGGACGAAGCCGAAGGUCACUGGCAUUAUGAUUUUUAUGAGUGCUACAAUCUGCCUUCCUCCGAAGCCACAAAGAGGGUGUGUAGCAUCAUGAAUCUUGUCUUCUGGCUCUUGCAUCUGUCUGAAGGCCUUAGCAAAUAUGAUAUCCGCUGCACUGCCUGUAUCGACCAGAACAUUAUGGACCAGAAAUCCCUUGAUGACACAAGAUAUGACCAUAGCAUCAUUGUGAGGGUAAUCUUCAAGCUGAAGGUCCUCCUGAGAGAAGGUGAUUGGGAUGUGGGACCAUUUUGACUUGAUGAAGGGUCUCUGCACCCCAACAUGCUGCACCCUUCUCUGCGCUUCCUUCUUCUGCUUCUUGUUAGCCGGCUCUGAACUUGAGCCGCCUGUUAUCGGGAGCACCAGCUUUGUAGCCGAAGGUGCUAUGACUUGGUUGUUGAACGAGGCCAUCAGCUCAAAAGUGGAAGUGAGUUCACCGGAGGUGGGCGCCAAUGUUGGGGACUUGUUCUCAAAUGCUAUGAAUUAAGAACAAGGCAACACAAAAGGAGGUUAAUGGUUAAUGCCCUUCGUCCUUCAAAGCAUUAUUUUCCUUAGGAUAUAACGAUCUUCGGACGAAGGUUAUGAUGGAUGUACCUUCAUCAUCACAGUAUACAUUAAUGAAAGAAGAAGCAUGUGAUGGAACCUCCCAAGUCAUUAGGCCCACCUACAAUUGUCGUUGUCCAACGGACUUCAGACAACCCUGAAGGUGCACCUGAUCACUUGAUAAGUUCGGUAUCUGAAUUCCUUACCUUCCCAAGAGCGUUUCACCCGUCACACAGACAUUACAAUACAUCGGAGGUACGAAAAUGCGGAAGCAGUUAUAAUAACUUACUUUAUUGAAAAAGUAAGACAGAGUUAUAUAGUUACAGACCAGAAUAGAAUAUAUGAGUGCUGAGUAUUAUUAUUACAUAACAUGGGAGGCAAAAACCCCUCCCGAAUAAGUAGUAAAAAGUUUUUCUUAAUGGAGGACCUUUCCUCCCGUAGCUUUAGUCUUGAUUCUCUUCUUUUGGUACCACCUUGGAACAGAAGCAACAAAAGUUUGCUGCUUCUUCACCUAAAACAACAUGGGACAAAGCCCUGAGUACGAAGUGUACUUUCGCAAGACUUACCUGUCAAAGUAAAAGACUCUCAAGGAUAUGCUGGCUUUAAGGGAGUCAAGGUAAGGCUUAUCAAUAAUCAAUCACUCUGUUUGCAGAAAUGCUUACUAAUAGUGGAUCCUUAAAAAUCCAGUUUUAUUUGUCAGGUUAAGUAAAAUUACCUGUAGCUAGGGUUCUUUCUACCCUAAUUCAAUCACUUGACCUAUACUAGCCAAUUUCUUAACAACCCUUCUUAUUCACUGGAAUGCUACGUGUAGGGUAGUGACCAAGUCUUCAUAUCCGCGAAGUUACGGCCAUCCGAAUCGAUUAUACUCAGCUGAGGAUCUCCAAUCACACGACAUAUGUAGCACUUAACCCUUGCAUAUGUCAACUCGCCACCGGGGUUCUUAAGACCAGAUCAGGUUCAUGCCAACCGAGAGCACAGAUACACCACCGUCCAGCCUCUUGCCAUAGAGGGUACACGCUACUCUCGCCAUCUCUCCACUCCCAUUGUGUGUUAUCUUAUUCUGGUAUUAGUCUGCCCGAGGCAAAGCUUACCCAUGAUGAGGCAUGUGACCAGUUAAAGGGUCCUCGAUCAUCAAGCCUACAUCGAGAUGGUCCUUAAUCGACUCAGUCUGAGACACUACAUCGAGACUCUCUUCUCGUGCAAGUCACCCACCCGGUCUCAGCUUAAUCAUUUCAAACCCAAAGUUUGGUACCUGGCAGAGGUACAUCUUUUCUGAUGUUGAACCCAUCAUGGCCAUGAUGGAUCCACCAUCAAGUUUUGUUUUUGAAAAACAUCCCACCCACUUUGCAACAUCAUCUUUUGUGAAAACAAAACAUUUUGUUUUUCUAGAGCAGGGCUAAGCAUAAGAAAAACCUUUUAUAAAACAGGGAUUUAAGGAGAAGUAAUCAAAUCCAAGAAAGGAAAUGCAGGAAUUGGUUUAGCACACAACUCCUAUCACCUAAUGCAUCAAGCAAGUGAGAAAGAUUUUAAAAGGAACAAGGAGGUGGCAAAUGCAACGGGGCUUGCCUUGUGUUACUGGUGAAUCAGGCUCUGUUCUGCAGAUAUCAAAAUAAAAAUAGUUGCCUGCCUGAUGUUCUUCAGGUGGUGGUGGUGAUGAAGUCCUUGCUUCUUAAACUGCUAUUUCCUCCUCAUUUUCUAGAUAUAGCCAAAUAUAAUAAUGAAUGCUCAUGUAAUGCUCAUGAAGAUGCAAAGAUAAUAAAAGUUUAUUAUCUAAGGCCUUGAAUGUAACUUUCCUUCACGGAUCUCCGAGAAACUAGGGUUUUCGGAGUCAAUAGUGAAGUUCAUAGGGCAGGGGCUAGGGUUUUGGGUUCUAAGUAUCAAACAUGGUCCAAAACAUACCAAAUAUUACCCAAAGCUUCUAAAUAAUAUUUAAAGUUUACCUAAAAAGUUUGGUGAAUUUUGGGAUUAUAAAUUACUUUAUAAAAUUCCAGAAGUAUGUAUUUUAACUGUUUAAAAUACCCUAAAAUUCCCUAUUGGAACUAAAAAUCAUGAAAUUAUUUUUAUUAAAUACUAUAGAAAAUUAGAAGCCUAGCAAAAUUCGUUUGGUAUUUUUAGCAUUUUUCUGUAAUUUUCUAGAAUUUCUUUAGCUCUGGUAGAAAAGGAAAAAGAAAAAUAAUGAACAGUUCUGGACCGCAAUCGACCCAAGUUGGCCCAUUACUGGAGGAAAGCGCCCGCGUGCAGACUUUGCACAGAGACCUCUAUUGUUUUAAAUAACCCGAACUGAGUUCACCGCACUAUUUCUUUGAGUCGCUGACAGUUACAGUUAGACCCCUGAACUUCUAAUUCUUCACAGCGCCAUGUCCAUGACGUCGCACGGCGGAGACCCGAGCACCGACGAGUCUAUAAUGGCCGGAUCAUGCAAAGACCGGUGCUCCCGUGCGGCAGACACCAAAUUGGAUUCCACCUAACCAUUUACCCUCACUCAAUUUCACUAAUGAGACUCUAAAUCAUCCUACCCACGGAGACAGCGCGAACAAUGGAUGAACAUGGGCGUUCUCGGUGAUCCAGGGCGAUCUAGUUCAAUCAGAGGGGUCGAACAACAUUAGGAGGACUUAAGGAGACUAGAACAAACGACUAGAGAGCUUGAACCAACCUGAAACAAGCUGGCUAGGGCGAGGAUGCUUUCACGGCGACGGAAACCAAAUUGGGGAGAAUGGGAAAUUGGAGUGUUCUAGGGGAUGAUUCGAGGCACGGGCUGCUUUACUGGUUUCACAAUUACAUAGCAUAGUAGGCGGGGGCAGCAAUUUAUAGACUCCAUCAGCGGUGGCACAUGAAUUUGAGUUAGCGCGGUGGCGGCCGGAGAGUGAAAAGAGUACUGUCGCGAGAGCUCGGUGGCAUCUACCGUGGCGACCUCACCGGCGACGAACCAGUUCUACCGGGCGGUUUCUAGUGACUCACCGCGAUGGGGUAAAGCGUCGAGGCACGUAGCCCGGUCGGAUAACGGCAAACGCCGGUGAUGCCAGCGCGACUAACUACGGCGAGACACGACGGCAGUGAGAACAGUGGUCGGAGUUUAUCUCCAGCGUGAUACUUUAUACCGAGGAGUGCUUAUCUGAGUUCGGUCGAGCGUGAAUCGUGACGCCGGCGCGAAUCCGGGCACACAGGUCACCGGCGGCGAGGUUCUCUGAACCUAAUCCAUCUCGUUCACUGUACCAUGGCGUAGCUUAUUUAGUUGGCCUGACAAAGCAUAUUUGGUACCAAUUUACUCCAGAUUUUGUAUAAGGACUGAAUCAACUCUCGUAUCAAAGUGAUAGCCUAAUAAACCAGCCACAAUCUUGCUAGGGUAACCAUGCUCAAACACUUAAUGGAUCAUAUUCGAAAAGACUCCCAAAGUUCAUCCCAUGUCACUGAAUAUCAAAAUUCAGGUUUUUGGCUGACUGACAACCCAUCUUUGGGCCCAGUUUUCUCUCAACUUUGCAUAACAACAAUGCUUAACCCCUUAAGCAAAGUUGUACUCCUAUUGUAGCUCUAAACCUUUUAUGUGUUGACCUAGGGCAAAAUAUUCAUAACUUGGAAGAUACAAGCUUCUAAAGUUGAGCCAAAUGCACUGAAAAUCAGACUUAACCCCAUAGGGUUCAAAUAGGGCUUUUUGCAAAUAAGUCCAAUUCACAUCUUUUGCUUGGGAAUCCCCAAUUAUGUGAACCAUAUGACUUAAGGUACCCUAAUGUCUUGGUUUUUGCACUUUAGUCCAAAAGUGCACUAGUUUUGCACUUAGCCCCCUAGGGUUUCACUGUAGGGUUUUCCAGGGGUUUAUUAGGGUUUCUGACACUUCUAGGGUUUGGAUGCUUUCAAAUAUUAUUAGAGUGGAUAUCUCAUGACCAUUUCUAAUAAGUUUUGAAGUUUUCUUCUAUUUAGGCUUUGUUAGCUCUUUCAAGCCCAGUUUAGGGUUAGGUACCCUACCCUAGGGUUUCACUUAUAACGUGUCACAUCAAUACAACUUGUUUGAACUUUUUGCCUAGUGAAUGCAUUCUAAGUGUAACAAUCACAUGAUAUGCCAAUGCUUAUGAUGUUAUGCUCAAGUUUUAGUGGCAGUAACACCAGGGGUGUUACAAAGCAUAUGAAACAUGAGAAAUAACAUCAAUAAUCAUAUGACAUCAUUUAUAUAUCCUUAUUAUAUAAUCAUGGACAAAUAAGAAUAAUAUUGAAUUACAUUUGUACCUUCGGCUUGACAGAAGGCAAAAGUACAAGUGUGACGCACGAGCAAGUACAAGCCAGCGUGAACAGUACAGGGUUACUAUUCACCUAUUUAUAAGCACGGGACCUAGCCCGGUCAAAAUUACAUUUAUGUCCUUGACAACUAGUUACAAUCAUGAUACAAACUACCAUGGACUGAUUGGUCUUUUCCUCUUUAAGUCGGUGCAGCCCUUCGUCUCAAGGCAUGUCGCUAUGCCGAAGCUCCCUGGAUGGUAGCUUCGGCGUGUCCCUUCAUGCUGUAUUUGCUUAUGUGCUGAUCUUCCAAAGGUGUUUCUUCUUAAAGGAUCUUCGGGGACGAAGCAGACCCCCAACAUCUCACAUCAUCUAGAUUUUAAUCUUCAUAUUAAAGACCAUUUGUUUCAUAAAUUCCACAUCAUUAGCUUCUUUAACUAUGCCAUACAUUUUGUUUUAGGCUCAAUAUGCUUUAUUUGAUGUCGAUUAUCAGAGUAGAAAUCCCUCAUUACAUUUCUUCUUGAAUUUGAUUUAUCUUGCCUUUGUUGAGAAUGUAUCAUUUACAACCAAAGACUCCAAAAUUUCAGCAUUUGGCUUUGUUCUAGUCAGUAGCUCAUACGAUAUAUUUUUCAACGACGGGUGACAAAAAAGCCUAUUGCUAGCAUGCAUGACAUUCCGUGUUGAUUGCUUCCACCCAAAAAGCAUCAUGUAUUCACUUAACAUAAGUCUUGCCAUAUCAGUGAGUGUUCUAUUUUUACUCUCAACAAGGACAUUUGGUUGUUGAGUGUAGUUGACUAGAAACUCAUGCUUAAUUCUCAUGUCAUCGAAAAGUUCAUCAAUUCACGAGUUUCUAAACUCACUUCCAUUAUGACCUCUCUCUUUCUUGAUUUUCAAUUCAAAUUCAUUCUCACUUUUCUUGAUAAAUAAUUUUGAAUAUGUUGAAGACAUCACUCUUGUCAUUGAGAUAGAAAUUCAUCUAAACCUCAAGAAAUCAUCUACUAUUAGUAAUCCAUAUUUUUACCACCAAUGCUUGGGUAUGUGGUUGGUCCAAAUAAAUCCAUGUGCAAUAAUUCUACUGGCCUACUAGUUCUCAUCAUGCUCUUGUUGGGAUUGGUAUUUCCAAUUAGUUUACUGGCUUGACAUAAGCUACAUAAUCUAUCCUUCUCAAAUUUGGCAUCCUUCAUUCACUCGAGUAGAUUAUGCUUGAUACAAUAUCAAUUGCUUCAUGCCAACAUGUACUAAUUUGCUAUGCUAUAACCAACACAAACUUGAUUUUGAGAAUAAAGAUGUUAAUAAUUGAGCUUCUCUUGAAUCAAAAUCUACCAAGCAUAAGUUAUUAUACCAAAAACCAUUGAAUAUGACAUUUGAUCAAACCACACAUAUGAUCUCCACAUGAUUAGCACCAAAGACAAACUUGAAUCCAAAAUCACAUAAUUGAGACUUUGAUAAUAGGUGGAAGUUAAGAGACUCUACCAGCAAUAUAUUUGAUAUGCUCAUGUCAUUUGAUAAUGCAAUAUUUCCAUGUCCCUUAACAUUGCCUUUGCCAUUAUCACCAAAGGUAAUGCUUUCAAACUCAUCUAUGCCAUUCUGAUUAAUUAAAUUGAAUGGUCCUUGACAUCUAGUCGUGAGUUGAGUGCAUACACUAUCAAGCACCCAAUGCCUUCCUCCACCCUUGUAAUUAACCUACAAAGAUAAUUCAAUUUCUUUUAGAUACCUAAACUCAUUGUGAUACACCCAGCCCAUGUGGGGUUGGCCGAGGCCCAACAAAUUAGGGUUGCCCGGAGCCCAACAGUUCAUUAUGCACACCCAACUCAGGGAAAGGCCCAAUCGCCCCAAAAGACUAGUCCAAUGGGCGAAGGGUGGCUCUGCCAUUUAAAGUGGCUUCCUCCUCCCAAGUUAAGCGAGGUGGGAUAAUUCUGAGGCUCACACGGUCACUGUCCGACUACAAUUGGGCCAACUGGGCCAAUUGCGUCUUUGCCAAUGGGUAAUAGUGGAGGAUGUCCUCAUCAUUGCCACCUUCUUAAAAUGGGCCCUAGCUCUGAUACCAGAUGAAUACACCCAGCCCAGGUGGGGUUGGCCGAGGCCCAACAAAUUAGGGUUGCCCGGAGCCCAAUAGUUCAUUAUGCACACCCAACUCAGGGAAAGGCCCAAUCGCCCCAAAAGACUAGUCCAAUGGGGGAAGGGUGGCUCUCCCUUUUAAAGUGGCUUCCUCCUCCCAAGUUAAGUGAGGUGGGAUAAUUCUGAGGCUCACACGGUCACCGUCGGACUACAAUUGGGCCAAAUGGGCCAAUUGCGUCUUUGCCAACGGGUAAUAGUGGAGGAUGUCCUCAUCACAUUGGGUCCUCCAACAAUAGUAACUAGGCUCUUGGGCACCCAGAUUGUCUUCUUCUUUGGACCAAUAGUAGGUUGUUCCAAUGGACUUAGGUUUUACACCACUAGUAUUUUGGUAAGAAAAUAGCAAAAACCAAAUCUAAUGGACGAUAUAGAUUUGUUCUUAUUUUUGCAUUAUUUUACAAAUUUCCCAACUUAUUGACAUUUAAAGAAAACCGAAGAUUACUCCUCACAAAACUAGUCAUAUGUGUAGCAAAGGUCACAUUUCCAUUUAAGUGAGUAUAGCCCAAUCUCUCUUUGUAGAGAGAAAGUCUUUUGCUACCCAAGCAUUUUAGCAAACAAGCCUCACCAUCAUAGGCUUUACCUAAGGCAUGAGUGAGCUCAUUUACCUCCUUAAGGGUCUCAAUUUCGACCACAAGUCACACAUCACAAGUGAAACCAUCACUCACAGAUGAUGACAUGAUGCACUACAUGAGGGGUUAGUAUGAUCAAUAUUAAUACGAGCACUAGAAUAUUUGUGAUAUCCUAGCCCCUAGGAUGGUGAUAUCCUAGCCCAAGGCUUAAUUAGAAUUAAUAGAGUAUCCAUACCAAUAAGGUGCAUCUUCUUUUUCGAAAGCCUAUCUCGAAAGAACCUCCAAGUUAAGUGUGCUUAGCUUGGAGCAAUUUGGGAUGUGUGGCCGACUGGGAAGUUUUCUCUGGUGCGCAUGAGUGAGGACAAAGUGCGCACAAAAGACUCGUGUUGGUCUGUGGGGAAAAUAUAUGAUCCUAGAGAGCUGCCAGGAGUAAGUAUCACCGGUCCAGGGAUUGGACGGGGUGUUACAAGUGGUAUCAGAGCUGACCCUCGCGGUUUCAUGGGCGUGUGUGGGUUACGGGGUUCGGGUAUAUGGCGCAUGGCACAUGUGGGCCCGGAGUGGUCACAUGGCAUGGCAUUUGACGACACUAGAUACACGAAGGUGGCUAAGAGGGGAGGUUCCUGGAUUGGGGUUGACAGACGAGGACGUCACUCUUCUAAGGGGUGGAUUUUGAUAUUCUGACCCCUGGGAUGGUGAUAUCCUAGCCCAAGGCUUAAUAUAAUUAAUAGAGUAUCCAUAUCAACAAGGUGCAUCUUCUUUUUUGGAAGUCUAUCUCAAAAAAACCUCUAAGUUAAGCGUGCUUAGCUUGGAGCAAUUUGGGAUGGGUGACCGACUGGGAAGUUUUCUCGGGUGUGCAUGAGUGAGGACAAAGUGCGCACAAAAGACUCGUGUUAGUCUAUGGGGACGAUAUAUAAUCCUAGAGAGCUGCCAGGAGUAAGUACCGCUAGUCCAGGGAUUGGAUGGGGUGUUUCAAGAUUCAUCAACAAUAUCACAUGUAACACCUAUGCUAGCUAUUUCAAUAGUAUUCUUUUGACUAAUAUGAGUAAAAUGAGCUUCUUUUAGCUUCUCAUAAGUUUUAGUGAGAACCUCAUGAGUAGCUAAAUGCUCCUCAAAGGAUUGCUUAAGAGUUUUGUGCUUCUUGUGCAAUUCUUUGAACUUUUUUUUGUAUUUUUGUUUGAGAAAGAGCUAUCCUCUUGUAAUAGCUCAAUAAGUUCCUGUUCAGGGCCUCUAUUGUGAAAGGUCCUCAAAGCAUUGCAUUAUCAAUCAAACAUGUUUUUAGGCACUACCAAAAGAUAGCGAAGCUAACCUUCUUCUGAAGCUACACGUGAGGAAAGGAUGAAUCUAGGGAGCUUCAGUCCUAUGAACAUGACUGACGGACAGGAACGAAGGAGAGAACGAACUUCGACCAUGUGGUAUUAUCACACAGAGCAGAAGUAGACGAGAAGAAUCCAUAAGGUUGGCCAGCGCCACACGAGGAAAGAAAGGACAAUGUUACCCCUACAAAAAGUUGUAUCCCGCCACUAUAAAUAGAGAAAUGGUGCCAUGCAUUAGGACAUAGGUGGAUAACGGAGAGAACAAGGAUUUCUCCACUUUCCAAGGUGUUUUGUAAAGCCAAAGGUAUUUUUGUAACCAUUCAUGAUAAAAUUAGACGAAGUCAAAUUAAUUGUUCAAGAUGAUUUGCUAUGUUAUUCCAUUAUGUCAAAAAUAUUCUAAGAUAUAAUUUAUCUCUAAUCUUGUUCCUUUAUUCAUUCUCUUCAAAAAGGGGAUUCAUUAAAGGGAGAAGGAAAAAUUAACACAUUUGUGUUGCCUUGUUCUUGAUUUCACUUAGGAACCAAAAGCAAGUGACUAAUAGUUCCUCAUUGGAGGAUCCUACACAUCCUCAGUUUGACUCUAACUAUCAUUAUCCCUCUCAUCAAAUUGUGCAUUACAACCUUUGGAAAUGAAGCAUGUCAUGGACUAUCAAAAAGAGAUGAAGUCAGCAAAUCGCAUGCACAUCUGUUUCAACUAUCAACCGACUUGGAGAGCAAAGGAGGAGUGUUGAUGAAGCCAAGUUGGUGGAUCCAAUGGUCGACCACCCCCUAGAUGUCUAGCCACUACACGGCCAAUUGUCCUUCCACCUGUCCACCCGACCACCAACUUGACCCCUUUGGUGACCUAAGCUGUCUAUAAGUACCCUUUGUCAUGUUUUAGACUAUAAAUACCCUCAAGUGCUCAUUUGUAUAGUUUAGAAAUAUAGUGAAGCCACCCUUAGCUUUUAAAGUGAGUGUGCCCUAUUGUGUCAAGGGAGAGGAGUGAGGAAAGAGUGAAGAAGUUAGGAUUUCUCUUGGAUUUUCUAUCUACAAGCUUGUAUUCUCAGAGGAUGGAUAUUCAACUCCAAGCUUGAGUAAAAUUCCCUUUUCUUCUAUUGCAUUUAUAUUCUACUUGAUUUAAUUUCAUACUUGUUCAUUCUACUUAGUCAAUUACGAGAACACAAGUGCAUACUUAUUUAUGUUGUACAAGUGCUUACGUGUUACUUUGACUUGCAACCAGAGCAAUAGUGAAAUCUUUGCUUAGAAGUGUUGUUUAGGCUUAGUUUUUGUUGGUGGUUGGAGAUCUAUCACGUGUAGAUUUGGUUGGUAGUCCCACCUAGUGACAACGAGUGUGUGUCUAGUGUAUCUUGACCCCCUUGUUUGCAUAGUUUACGCUGACGAUAUAACUGAGUUCUUGUAGAACUACCUUUCUCAUCUAGGUACCAGCACUUUGGUUCCUAGAAGUGGUUCUAUAGCCUCGAUGUCUAAGUAACCCCGACUAACUCAAUACUAUUAUGCUUAGGAAGUUGAGUAUGUAUAAUUGAAAUAGGGAACCUACUAUACCCAUGUUGGGAGUUUUCUUCCCUACCGAAGGUCCUCAGGACAAAAACACUUUCGGCAAGAGAAUACAAAGGCUCAAGACAAAGGCUUUGCUUUGCACACAAGCAACGCUGCAGAAUCCCGAAGCUCGAUAGCUUCGGCUCGGAUCAAGCAAAGAAAUAAAAGACUAAAUAGACCUUAUUAGAUUUAGUUGCUUGUAAAUAAGUGUUUAAGGGUACGGAUGUAAUUUUGCUCGGGCUGCGUCCCGUGCCUAUAAAUAGGUGAACAGUAACCUCGUACUGUUCACGCUAGAUUGUAUUCACUUUCUCGCAUCCACACCUUCGAGCAAGCCGAAGGUAUCAAUGUAAUAUUAGCAUUGUUUAUUUUCAUUUAUGUUUUAUGGAAUAUAAGAAUAAACCAAUUAAUGAGAUGCAAUUAGAAUAUUUAUCCUCUUGCGUCCCUACUCGCAUAAUAAAUGAUGAAGGUAUAUCCUUUUUAACCUUCGUUUGACGAAGGUUUAUACCACGAAGAGAUAAUGCUUCGGUUAGACGAAGGUCGGUAAUGACUAACAAUUGUGUUGCCUUGUUCUUGAUUUAUAGCAUUUGAGAACAAGUGACCAACAUUGGCGCCCACCUCCGGUGAACUCACUUCCACAAUUGCAACAAUGGCUUCACAAGGCAACCAAGUUGUGGCACCUUCGGCUACGAAGCUGGUGCUCCCAAUCACAGGCAGCUCAAGUUCUGAACCAGCCAAUAAGAAGCAGAAGAAGGAAGCACAUAGAAGGGUACAACAUGUUGGAGUGCAAGGACCCUUCAUCAAGUCCAAAUGGUCUCAUAUACCAAUCACCUUUGAAAGGAUCACGAUGCCCGAGAGGGGGGUGAAUUGGGUUUUCUAAAAAUCAACACUAAUUAAAACCUAAGCAAGAGCCCAACUUCACCCCAACAACUAGCACUAAGAAUAUAAUACUAGAAAUGCAACAAUGCUAAGACAAUACUUCAAAUACUUGCUCAACAAAUACACAAUGUAAAGUGCUUGAAUUAAGUGCGGAAUGAAAGCAAGGUUUAGAAGACUCCUCCAAUUUUUCCUGAGGUAUCGAAGAGUCGGCACUCUCCACUAGUCCUCGUUGGAGCACCCGCGCAAGGGUAUCGCUCCCCCUUGGUCCUCGCAAGAACCAAGUGCUCACUACGAGAUGAUCCUUUGCCACUCCGGCGCGGUGAAUCCCUCGAGAUCGCUUACAAACUUGAGUCUGGUCACCAACAAGAUCUUCACGGUGAUCACCGAGCUCCCAACGCCACCAAGCCGUCUAGGUGAUGUCGAUCACCAAGAGUAAAUAGUCGUAGACUUUCACUUGACCAAGAGAAGCCUAAUGCAAGUGGUGUGUGCUCUAGGUGGCUCUCGCUAGCGCUAAUGAGGAACAAAUGCGGAUUAGGAUUCUCUAAUGUCCUCACUAGGUUUUUGGUGCUUGCAAUGCUCUAGCAAUGUGCUGGAAUAAAUGUGGGGUGCAAGACAUUGAAUAUGGUGGGUGGAGGGGGUAUAAAUAGCCCUCACCCACCAACUAGUCGUUACAGGCAUCUCACUGCGCAAUGGCGCACCGGACAGUCCGGUGCGCCAACGGUGCGCCAACGGUGUGCCAACGGUGCGCCAACGGUCGUUUCCAACGGCUAGUUCUGACAGUUAGCCGUUGGACUCAUGGCACACCGGACAGUGAACAGUCAUUGUCCGAUGCACACCGGACAGUCCGGUGCGCCACUUUAAUUCAACUCUGAAACCUGCGCUCUCGGGUUUCUACGUGGGGAAGGCUCUUCCCUGGGCCAGUCUGGGCCCACCUGGCAGAGGGUGCACCGGACAGUCCGGUGCCCCAGGGCCAGAAACCCUACUUCUUGUUUUUCAGCUGUUUUUCAAAUCGGUUUUCGUUCUAACUUGUGAGUGAGUUCUAGAGUGACACCUAGCACUGUAUGUGAGUGUGAUUGUGCACCAACACUACACUAGAACUCUCUUGGUAAAACUACUCAUCGACCACCCCUCUUUAUAGUACGGCUAAAAGAGAAUAAAAGUCCUAACUAAAUCACGAGUGUCCACAUCUCCUUGACACUCGGACUCCGUAGUCCUUCACCUUUUGUUUCAUUGUUUUAGCCAUAGCUUCGAGUUCUUAUCUCUGGGAUUGUUUUCACCGUUGUAGUACUUCUACCUGUAAUGCGACCUAACUUACCAUUUGUCUCUUCAAAACACAUGUUAGUCACAUAUAACAUUACGUUGUCAUUAAUCACUAAAACCAACCAGGGGCCUAGAUGCUUUCAAUCUCCCCCUUUUUGGCGAUUGAUGACAACCCUACAAGAUUUGUGAGAGUAGUUUGUUUUGAAGUUUCUGUCAAUAGAAAGGAUGGUUAGUUAUACUCAGUAAUCUUUGAUAGAAAGAACGUGUACCAUAAUAAUAAGAGUGAGCGCAUACACAUCGUAAGAUUCUUGUUCAUAUAAAAGUGAAGUUAAAUCAAUGAAUCAAGAACUAGAAGACUGGUGAUAAAAUAUAAGGUGAAAACAUAAUACACACAGUCAAUCAUAAGCAACGAGAGUAUAUAUAGAGUUUGUGAGCCAAAAACACCAAGCUAGUACAGAGAGUAGCAAGCACAUAUAUUACAUCAAAAUGACUCUCUACUAACUCUCUAACUCCCCCUAGCUCUCACAACUCAUAUCUCUCCCCCUUUGGUGUCAAACACCAAAAGGGACCCUAACCUACACAUCUGAGGCGGGAGGAGGCGGCGGGGGCGCAUCCGGUCGCGGUCGAGGCAGCAGAGCGAACGCCGGCGGGGGGUCAGAGUCAGUCUCGGAUCCAGGAUCUGCGGUAGAAGCUGGAGCUGGUACUGACUCGGACUGAGGCCACGCUGCAGAAGCUGCCGGAACAGAAGUGGUCAUAGAUACUGCCACAUCAGUAGUGGUAACAGCAGAUGCUGGUGGCACUGGCGGCUGAGGGCAGACAGAGCUGAGAACCGGUGACGUGAAAGCCAGAGUGACCGGCCGGAGCGGAGAGGAAGAAAGACCAACAGAAGAAAGAGGGGGUCAUGUCUGAAUCGCUGGCACCAUAGGAGCCUGAAGCGGAGGAGGUGGAGCAGACUGAACCGGUGGAACUGAGACACCAGAAUGCUGCAACAUAAGAGCCAUGAAUGCCCUGCUCUCAGCCCGAUCCUGGAGAAGCUGCUGCUGAAGGGAAUCCUGUCUGUCCUGUAUGGUCUGAAACAUCGAGAGCAUCCUCUCGAAUAACUGCUGAUGGGUUGCUGCCUGGCGGGACUGCUCGGCUACCAAGUGAGCCUGCUGCUGAGUGAGUGUCUGAAGAAUCGAAGCAAGUGCAGGGUCAAUAGCAGGAGGGGCAGCAGGGGUAGCACUAGAACUCCCAGCCUCAUGAUCAUGUGAGCGUGGAGGCAUAGGAGGCAGAGGCGGAGGAGGAAUCCCAAAAUCAUCAUCAUCAUCAUCAACUGCUGCAUCCUGAGCUUCGAACUGAUGAAGAGCAGCAUCCUCGGCCUGAGAGUCAAAGACUGGAGCAGAAGCUGGCACAGGAGCCUCAGGCGCAGGACGGUAGGACCCAAAGACAAGGCGAGAGGCCUCAAGUGUGCCCUGAAACUGUGGAGGCCGAAUCAGCUGCGCAAAGAUGUGGCACAAGUAGUGAGCAUAUGGCAACUGUCGACGAGCACGAAUGCCAUCCAAAACGGUGUCCUCGAUCUCACAAAUAAGGAAAUCCACGACGUCAAACUCAGAGUGAGAGACCAGGGCACCAAGGAGCCAGAGCUAGAUAUGUGUGGUAGCCUCCCUGUAUCCCAUCCUCGGCAAAAGAGUCCGUCUGAUAAGCUCAAAUAAGUACUUAGCUGCUGUAGUAAAAUCUGCCGGUGAACGUCGUGACCCAUCUGAGAAGGGCGGGCGGAACAGAGCCGCGACGUGAGUUGUACCGGAGCCACACCGCCGUGAGGGCGACGAGGAGGGUAAGAGGUGUCGUAGCAUAAGCUGUGAAGUCGAGUCGACGACUCGGGAAAUCCAAAGAGCUGGCGAAUCUGACUGGCAGUAAUGGUGACAUCCUCUCGCUCAAAACAAAACCUCAUCCAGUGAUGAUCUGGGUCUAUCCAUACAGUCGCGUAGAAAACUCGGACCCACUCCUCAACAUACCUGCCGCUGGUAGUCAAAAGAGUCAGAAGGCCAGGCAGAUAUGUGAGGUGCACCUCAGAGUCAGCACCGGCGGCGAGCAGAAAAGCUGGAAGGUCCAAGAGCUGGUGCACUCGUAGAGCAAUCUGUCCAGACAUUUGAGCUCUGAAAAAGGACUCCUGAAUACAGGUGCUGAAUAGGUCAACUGCUGCAAGGUCCCUCUGAGCCGGUAACCAAGACUCUACGGGUACGUAUCUGAACCUACGUACCCGUGCCGCUGUAGCACGCUGAAGGUCAAAAAGUCUGGGAUCCGCUGCAAGAGGUCGUACAUCAGUCUCAUCGCGCUCCCGGAAUCGAGGUGGAGGGAUAGGAGGAGCUGAAGCGGGAGCGGGAGGAGGAGCAGUGGAAGCUGGUGUAGUGGAGGUAGUGGGUAUGGCUGUGGUGGUGGAUGGCGCAACAGGGGUGACGGGAGCAGGCAGAGUGGGUGGUGGAUGGCGCAACAGGGGUGACGGGAGCAGGCAGAGUGGGUGGUGGAGUGGAAGAAGUGGUGUGAGUGGAGGAGCGAGACCGGGAGGCGAGACGACGAACACGGUACGCAAUCUGAUCUGACAGAGUCUGUGGCUGAUCUCCAAGCUUGGCCUGCGCAGCGGCCGCUGCUGCUGCUGCCGCUGCUGCUGCUGCCGCUGCACGGGCUGCUCUGUCCAUACGCCGCUUCUUGCGGCCUUCCUGCUGCUCCAAGUGUACUGUCUUGCCCUUGACCUGCCUGAAGGGGCGACGAGGAUCCUCAUCAUCGCCUCCCCCUGGUGCCGACACAUUCUUCGUGCGCGGCAUCCUGACCUGAUGACUGUAAAUGAGAGAGAGAGACUAAGCACAGAUCGAUAAAAUCCGAUAGAAUAUCAAAGGAUGAGAUGACUACCUGGAAAGCUCACACGAGAGGUGACGAUCCAGGCAAGACAGGAGAUGGCACAUGGGCAAUCAAGGUCACUGAAAUGACAGAAGAGGUGAGCACGCAUUAGUCACAUAGUCAUAAGUAUAUGAAAUGUGAAUAAAUACAUACACAGAGAAAUAUGGCACAGAAAACAAGAGAUGAGACGAUCGAGAGGUCAAACGACGUGAAAACGGCGUUUGAACGAUAAAAAGUGCCAUAGGAGGUUUGGAAUUCGAAUUGAGGCACGAAAUGACGUGGAAUUGAGCCGACACUUCACGAAUAGGUUUAUAUGGGUGAAUAUGAGUGAAGUGUGUGUUUGGUUUGAAUUUAGGCGAAGAAAAUGAGAUUUGGGCACUCAGCUCGGAAACGAUCGCUCGAAACGGGGAAUUGGGUGAAAUUAAAGCCUGGAAUAUCGGAUGGGCGUGAAAUUUGGCGAAUAUGUUACUGGAGAUGUUUUGAAGGUGCCUGAAAAAUUUGAGUUCAAUUGGAGCAUUUUUGGCUAGUUUGGGCAUUUCACCGAACACGUGGAGGGCGGAGUUUUAGGGUUUCGGGGAAAUGGCUAUUUGAGGUGGGAAAACCCUCCCGAAGGAGCUAGGAACCUGCAAGGAUACUCAAGGCUCACAGAGGAACACAUAUGACCACUUGGUUUCACUGGAUUUCACAGGAAAUUGGAAUUGACUCACAAGGGGUGGAAGAGGGGGCAUCACUAGGCUGAAUCAGAGAGAAGAGAGAGGGGUGAAGGCAAAGCUGCUCACCAGAGGGAGAAGGGACGAGUGCAGGCACAGGAUCGCCGGAGGAUCGCCGCCGGGGAGGGGAGAUCGUCGGCGAGGGUGGAGAUCGCCGGCGAGGGUGGAGAUCGCCUAAACCCGAGAGCAGAGGUUGGCCAGGGGAGAAAAUGGGCCUGGCCUCGGGCUUGGGCAGAGAAGAAUUUUUUAAAAACUGAGUAUGGGCGCACCGGACAGUCUACAGUGCCUGUCCGGUGCACACCGGACAGCGCACAGAAGAAAGGAUUAUGAGCGCGCGGCUGCCGGUGCACCGGACAUUGCACAGUGCAGUGUCCGGUGCACACCGGACUGUCCGGUGAGCCCAGACAGAGGGAAAAUUUGGAUUUUUUGAAUUUUUCUACCUAGUUCCCAACCAAACCAAAUCCCAACUUAUAAACACACAAAAUAACACUUGUUGGGAUAGGUAUUGGCACCCUCAUAUACUUUUCUCAUAAUUUUCAAAAUAUUUUGCCAUAGGCUAGAUAAUUUUUAGAGAAAAUAGGCAAAUGGUGAAAUUUGCAUUUUGGCCUUGCACUAGGGGUUUUCAUGAGUGAUUUGAGUUUUGAAUACUCCCCCUAAGUGCAGUACCUCAUGCAUAUUUCAAGAACCAAUCAAUUUGCAUAAAAAGUAAGAAUUUAAGUGCUAAAAGCUUAAAACUAAGACUUGUCAAGUUUGAUCCGAGUUAAGCUUUUUCACUCGCUUUGUUGGCGGUUAUCUCAACUAGGUUAGACAAGCCCUAGAUGCAAUACAAGAAAUUUAAACAUGCAAUGCAAGCUUGACAACACCAUUUGACAUUUUACAUAAAAUUUCUGAGAUCAUGAAUAUUUAGUUCAUUCCUCAACAUGCAAAAGCGGGUCUUAUCAAGUGGCUUAGUGAAAAUAUCCGCUAAUUGAUCUUCCGACCUCACUCCUUCUAAAAUGAUAUCUCCUUUAGAAACAUGAUCUCUAAGGAAGUGAUGACAGAUAUCAAUGUGCUUGGUGCGAGAGUGUUGUACAGGGUUAUUAGCAAUUUUAACAGCACUCUCAUUAUCACACAACAAAGGUACCUUUUCUAGAACUACGCCAUAGUCUAGAAGAGUUUGUUUCAUAUACAAAAUUUGUGUGCAACAAGCACCUGCGGCAAUGUAUUCCGCUUCGGCAGUUGACAAGGCAACACUAUUUUGCUUUUUGGAUGUCCAUGAAAGUAGUGAUCUACCAAGCAGAUGGCAUCCCCCAGAAGUACUUUUCCUAUCAAUUUUGCAACCGGCAUAAUCCGAAUCGGAAUAGCCAAUUAAAUCAAAAGUAGCUCCUUUGGGAUACCACAGACCAACGCUUGUGGUGUGCCUGAGAUACCUAAGAAUUCUCUUAACAGCGUGAAGAUGAGUUUUCUUAGGAUUAGAUUGAAAUCUAGCACACAUGCAGACACUAAACAUAAUAUCGGGCCUAGAUGCGGUAAGGUACAAUAAACUACCAAUCAUAGAACGGUAGAGAGUUUGAUUAACCGGGUUACCUCCCUCAUCUAAGUCGAGAUAUCCAUUUGUAGGCAUGGGGGUCUUGAUUGGUUUGCACUUCUCCAUGUUGAACCUUUUCAACAAGUCUUUGGUAUACUUCUCUUGUGAGAGAAAGUUACCAUCUUUCAUUUGCUUGACUUGAAAGCCGAGGAAGUACGUUAGCUCACCAAUCAUUGACAUCUCGAACUCCUUCGACAUCAACUCACCAAAUUCCUUGCAAUGAUAGUCAUUUGUCGAGCCAAAGUUUAUAUCAUCAACAUAUACUUGACAAAUGAAAAUAUCACUGUUAUGUUUUUUUGUGAAUAGAGUUGUGUCGACGGUCCUGAUCUUGAAGCCCUUUUCGAUGAGGAAGUCGCGAAGGCGCUCAUACCAAGCCCUUGGAGCUUGCUUUAGCCCAUAUAGCGUCUUGGACAACCUGUAAGCAUGGUUAGGAUAUCUAGGGUCUUCAAAUCCAGGCGGUUGCUCAACAUAUACAAGUUCAUUUAUGAAGCCAUUUAAAAAUGCACUUUUUAAGCAUGAUGCAUAUGCAAGUAGGAUACGGAUGGCUUCCAGUCGAGCAACCGGUGCAAAGGUCUCUCCAAAAUCUAAGCCUUCAACUUGAGAGAAUACCUUUGCAACAAGUCUUGCCUUGUUUCUUACAAUCACACCUUGAUCAUCUUGUUUGUUUCUGAACACCCACUUUGUUCCAAUGAUUCUUGCAUCUUGUGGGGGCUUCUCGAGGGUCCAAACUUCGUUACGGGUGAAGUUGUUAAGUUCUUCAUGCAUGGCAUUCACCCAGUCCGGAUCCUGUAGCGCCUCAUCUAUACAAGUAGGCUCAACACAAGAAACAAAGGAGUGAUGUUCAAUAAAAGAAGCAUGUCUAUGUGAUCGAGCAAUAACCCCUUGUGAAGGACUCCCGAUGAUUUGAUUUGGAGGAUGAGCUUGAAGUAGUGAUGAGUUUCUCCUGUCAACCACUUGGGAAGAAGAUCCUGGAGCAUCAACAUCUUCGGCUUGUACCCUUGCUUGUUCAUGAGAGACAAAUGUAUCUUCAUUUGCAUGCCUCUCAUCUUUUUCAUCAUCUUGUGGUACAUUUGAUGAAGAAGGCCUGUCAAUGUUUUGCACCUCUUCUUCAUCUUCUUUUGGUUUGAUAGCUCCAAUAGGCAUGUUCUUCAUUGCUUCCCUAAGUGGCUCAUCACCUACAUCAUCAAGAUUUUCAAGUGCUCCUUGGGAGCCAUUAGUCUCAUCAAAUUCCACAUCAUAUGUUUCUUCUACCACGCCAGUGGCAUGGUUGAAUACUCGAUAUGCUUUGGACUUUAAUGAAUAACCCAAAAGAAAACCAAUAUCACAACGUCUUUGAAACUUCCCUAGGUGAUGGUGUUUCUUGUAGAUGUAGCAUUUGCACCCAAACACCCUGAAGAAGGAGACGUCUGGCUUUUCCCCAUUUAGCAGUUCAUAGGGAGUCUUUGCAAGUAGCCAGUGAGGAAAUAGCCUGUUUGAUGCAUAACAUGCAGUGUUGACAGCUUCGGCCCAAAACCUCUCCAGUGUGUUAUACUCAUCAAUCAUUGUUCUUGCAAGUGUGAUCAAGGUCCUGUUUUUCCUUUCAACAACUCCAUUUUGUUGAGAUGUGUAUGUUGCAGAUACUUCAUAUUUGAUCCCAAUUUCAUCACAGUACUCAUGAAUGUUGGUGUUGUCAAAUUCUUUGCCAUUAUCACUUCUAAUCUUCUUGAUCUUGCAAUCAAAUUCAUUUUGUGCUUUCUUGGCAAACUUCUUGAAUAUAGAUGCAACUUCAGAUUUGUCGUGGAGAAAGAACACCCAAGUGUAUCUUGAGAAGUCAUCAAUAAUCACUAGACAGUAGAGGUUGCCACCGGCACUUACAUAAUUUGUAGGUCCAAAUAAAUCCAUAUGAAGUAGUUCCAGUGGCCUUGAUGUUGACAUGAAAGCUUUAGUAGGAUGUGUAUUAGCAACUUGCUUUCCAGCUUGACAUGCACUACAUGGCUUGUCUUUUUCAAACACCACAUCCUUUAAUCCUCUAACCAUGUCUUUCUUUAAUACCUUCUUGAGUGUGCUCAUCCCAACAUGUGCAAGCCUCCUAUGCCAAAGCCAUCCAAGUGAAGCUUUGGUGAAGAGGCAAGUUCUUAAGUCUGCAUCUUCUAAAGUGAAAUCCACUAAGUAGAGGUUGUUGUAUCUAAAUCCCUUGAACACCAUUGAUUCAUCAUCCAUCUUUGUUACAAUAACCUCUGCUGGAGUGAAUAAGCAUUGAAGUCCAAGAUCACAGAGUUGACCCACUGAUAAUAAAUUGAAGCUCAAAGGUGCAACCAAGAGAACAUUUGAUAUUGAUAAAUCAUUUGAAAUUGCCACCUUGCCUAGUCCUUGCACUUUUCCUUUUGAAUUGUCUCCAAAUGUGAUUUUAUCUUGUCCAUCAACAUUCUCAUCAAGUGAGGUGAACAUCCGUGGGUUGCCUGUCAUAUGUUGUGUGCAUCCACUGUCAAUAACCCAAUGGCUCCCACCGGUCAUGUAGUUCACCUACAUCCAGAGACAAAUCAAGCUUGAGUUUUGAGGGCCCUAUAUUGCAUAGGACCAGUGACUCUCUCAAUCAAGGACUUUGCAACCCAGAUUUGUCUAGGUCUACUCUUGUUUGGUGGACCUAGAAAUGUAACUUUGACCUUUCCAUUUGCAACCUUUCUUAGAACAUAGUGAGCAUUGAAAGCAAAUGGUCUUGAGUGCUUAGGCAAGGGAGUUGGUGGUUUGGCUUUGCAGUUGUGGGCAAAAUGACCUUCAUUUCCACACUCAAAGCAUUUGAUGGGCUUAUGAGUCUGCUUUGGCUUGUAUUGAGUGGUAGCUUUCUUUUGCACAAAAGCAUUGUAUCCAAUACCACUCUUGUUGUUUUUCAUGACAGUGUUCAUAAGCAGCUCAUUUUGGAGGUAUUGACCCUUGUUGAACUUUUACACACUUGUUGCAAGAUGUUCAUUUUCACUUUUUAGUUUCUUGACCUCAUUUUUAAGCCUUUGAUUAUCCACUGCCAACUCAUUGUUGAAAUCAUUGUUCUCAAUAGCAACCUUUCCUCUAGUAGUUGCAUCAGUCAAGUAUUUCUUCAAUUUUUGGUUGUCUAAAGUUAGGACUUCAACUUGUUCAGUCAAUUCAGCAUGUAGACUAGUUUGCUCUCCUUGACUCAAAUCAUCACAUGAGGUUGCUACAUCAAUCUUAACAACAGGGUUAAUAGCCUCAUGUGUUUUGCAAGAUAAACGUUCAUUUUCAACAUGAAGAUUGUCAUGAUCAAAUUUAAUUUGAGUAUAGGCUUCCUUGAUUUUUACUAGUCUAUUUUGCAACUCCCUAUUAGCUUCAUUUAAUAUGUCACAUUUAUCCUUAGCAUCUUUUAGGGAGAUUGUGAGCUCAUUUACAGUUGAUGACGUAGUUUUAUUUUCUUCUUUUAUUUCAUCACUAGCUUUCAUAACUAUAUCAUAUUUGGCAUUUAAAGAUUCAUUUUCAUUUUUCAACCUAUCACAUUUAGCUUUUGACUUUCUAAUAAUUUGAGUAUAUUCUUUAAGCAAGUCAGCUAGCUCAUCAUAAGAAGGUGAAGCAAAUUCCUCAUCACUAUCACUAUCAUCAGUAGUAUAAAUAUCAUUUUGUACCUUCCGUUCACCUCUAGCCAUGAGGCAUAGGUGAGGAGUCGAUGAUGGCGAUGGUGGUGGUGAAGAGAAGUCCCCGGUGAUGGCAGCAACUUUUUCAUCAUUCUCUUCUUCACUUGAAGAAGAUCCACUUGAUGACUCAAUGUCAGUGAGCCAGUCACCAACAAUAUAUGCCUUUCCAUUCUUCUUCUUGUGGAACCUCUUUUGCUUCCCAUCCUUCCUCUUGAAGAAUUUCUUUUCCUUCUUUUCAUCAUCGCUAUCAUCUUCUUUCUUGCCCUUGAACUUGUUCUUCUUGGGCUUGUUACAUUGAUGAGCAAGAUGACCGAGCUCACCACAGUUGUAGCAAUCCAUCUCAGAAAUGGGCUUUCUUUUGUUGGAAAAGAAUUUCUUCUUUCUUGAAUCAAAUUUGAUGCCUUCUCUAUUAAGCUUCUUCAACAUCUUGGUGGUCUUCCUUACCAUCAAGGCAAUGUUAGCAUCAAGGUCAUCAUCACUAGAGGAUUCUUCCUCAACUUGUAUUUUUGCUUUUCCUUUUCUUUCAUGAUUUGCUUUGAGAGCCAAAUCCUUUCUUUUGGAAGAUGAUUCUUCUUUGUCGUUGAUGUGCAUGUACAUCUCAUGAGCAUUGAUCUUUCCCAAAAUCUGUGUAGGUGUGGUAACUGAAAGAUCCAUUUGAUGAAGCACAGUGACAAUGUGUCCAUAUUUGUCUAUUGGGAGGACACUGAGAAUCUUCCUCACAACAUCCGGUUGUGAGAUUUGAGUAAGCCCCAAUACAUUAACUUCCUCUACAAGAAUAUUGAGACGUGAGUACAUGGCAUUGGCAUUUUCAUUAGCAAGCAUUUCAAAAGAAUUUAACUUUCUCAUGGCUAUGUGAUAUCUCUCCUCACGCUCACUUCUAGUUCCUUCAUGUAAAGCACAAAUGUCCAUCCACAAAUCAUGAGCAUUUUUAUGAUUUCUUACUCUAUUGAACACGUCUUUGCAAAGGCCUCUAAAAAGGGUGUUUUGGCCUUAGCAUUCUAUUUCUCAUAAUUGAACUCAUCAUCUACAAGAUUUGUGGGAUCUCUAGGUUCGGGGAAUCCUUGUGUGGCGGCUUUAUAGACACCAAUGUCUAUAGCCUCUAAAUAUGCUUCCAUACGAAUUUUCCAAUAUGGAAAAUCGUCACCAUCAAAAACGGGAAGAGGUCCAUCCCCACCGGACAUCGUAACUCUAGCGGUUAAGCUAAUCUACGAGCAACAAGGCUUUGAUACCAAUUGAAAGGAUCACGAUGUCCAAGAGGGGGGGUGAAUUGGGCUUUUCUAAAAAUCAACACUAAUUAAAACCUAAGCAAGAGCCCAACUUCACCCCAACAACUAGCACUAAGAAUAUAAUACUAGAAAUGCAACAAUGCUAAGACAAUACUUCAAAUACUUGCUCAACAAAUACACAAUGUAAAGUGCUUGAAUUAAGUGCGGAAUGUAAAGCAAGGUUUAGAAGACUCCUCCAAUUUUUCCCGAGGUAUCGAGGAGUCGGCACUCUCCACUAGUCCUCGUUGGAGCACCCUCGCAAGGGUAUCGCUCCCCCUUGGUCCUCGCAAGAACCAAGUGCUCACUACGAGAUGAUCCUUUGCCACUCCGGCGCGAUGGAUCCCUCGAGACCGCUUACAAACUUGAGUCAGGUCACCAACAAGAUCUUCACGGUGAUCACCGAGCUCCCAGCGCCACCAAGCCGUCCAGGUGAUGCCGAUCACCAAGAGUAACAAGCCGUAGACUUUCGCUUGACCAAGAGAAGCCUAAUGCAAGUGGUGUGUGCUCUAGGUGGCUCUCGCUAGCGCUAAUGAGGAACAAAUGCGGAUUAGGAUUCUCUAAUCUCUUCACUAGGCUUUUGGUGCUUGCAAUGCUCUAGCAAUGUGCUGGAAUAAAUGUGGGGUGCAAGAAAUUGAAUAUGGUGGGUGGAGGGGGUAUAAAUAGCCCUCACCCACCAACUAGCUGUUACAGGCAUCUCACUGCGCAAUGGCGCACCGGACAGUCCGGUGCGCCACCGGUGCGCCAACGGUCGUUUCCAACAGCUAGUUCUGACAGUUAGCCAUUGGACUCAUGGCACACCGGACAGUGAACAGUCACUGUCUGGUGCACACCGGACAGUCCGGUGCACUGUCUGGUGCGCUGUCCGGUGCGCCACUAUAAUUCAACUCUGAAACCUGUGCUCUCGGGUUUCUGCGUGGGGAAGGCUCUUCCCUGGGCCCACCUGGCAGAGGGUGCACCGGACAGUCCGGUGCCCCAGGGCCAGAAACCCUACUUCUUGUUUUUCAGCCGUUUUUCAAAUCGGUUUUCGUUCUAACUUGUGAGUAAGUUCUAGAGUGACACCUUGCACUAUAUGUGAGUGUGAUUGUGCACCAACACUACACUAGAACUCUCUUGGUCAAACUACUCAUCGACAACCCCUCUUUAUAGUACGGCUAAAAGAGAAUAAAAGACCUAACUAAAUCACGAGUGUCCACAUCUCCUUGACACUCGGACUCCGUAGUCCUUCACCUUUUGUUUCGUCGUUUUAGCCGUCGCUUCGAGUUCUUAUCUCUGGGAUUGUUUUCACCGUUGUAGUACUUCUACCUGUAAUGCGACCUAACUUACCAUUUGUCUCUGCAAAACACACGUUAGUCACAUAUAACAUUAUGUUGUCAUUAAUCACUAAAACCAACCAGGGGCCUAGAUGCUUUCAUCCUUCUCCCAGGAAGACCUUCAACUCAAGGAUUAUCUUCACAAUGAUGCAAUAGUCAUAUCUUGUGUCAUCAAGGGAUUCUUGGUCCACAAUGUCCUAGUGGACAUGGGCAGUGCGAUAGACAUCAUCUUCGUGAAGGCUUUCAGGCAAAUGCAAGAGCCAGAAGACAAGAUACAUGAUGCAACACACCCCCUCUGUGGCUUUAAAGGAAGGCAGGUCGUGGCACUCGGCAAGAUAACUAUGUCGAUCACCUUCGGCUAAGUUCACAAUACAACGGCAGAGCAGGUUGUUUUUGACAUUAUCGAUAUGGAGUACCCCUACAAUGCAAUUAUUGGUCGAGGGACGCUGAAUGCCUUCGAAGCAAUACUCCACCCAGCAUAUCUCUGCAUGAAGAUACCUUCUGACCAAGGGCCUAUUGUUGUACAUGGAAGCCAAGAGGCUGCCAGGAGAGCCGAAGGGAACUGGACGGAUUCGAAAGCCAUCCAUAAUAUAGAUGAAGCCGAAGCUCAUCAACAAUUCAAGCAUAAAAGAGAAAGGGCUGCUUCAGCAGAUCAACCAAAGCCCAUGCUUCUGUGCGAGGACAUAGCCAAGCAGAAGGUACUGUUGGGAUCCCAAUUAUCUGAUGAACAAGAGAAGACUUUGUUGAAAUUCCUAUUCAACAACAAGGAUGUCUUUUCUUGGUCAGCCAAUGAUCUCUUUGGUGUCAAUAGAGAUGCCAUUGAGCACUCACUCAUUGUAGAUCUGGCCUUUAGGACAAGAAAGCAGAGGCUUCAGAAAAUGUUCGACGAUAAAGCCGAAGGCGCACGAAACGAAGUGAAAAGGCUUUUGAGUGCCGGUGUUAUCAGAGAAGUAACAUACCCAGAGUGGCUGACCAAUACUGUGAUGGUAAAGAAAGCUAAUGGAAAAUGGAGAAUGUGCAUCGACUUCACAGAUCUCAAUAAGGCAUGCCCGAAGGAUGAAUUCCCAUUGCCAAGAAUAGAUUCCCUUGUAGAUGUAGUGGUCACUUUAGAGCUUAUGAGCUUAUUGGACUGCUACUCAGGCUAUCAUCAAAUCUGGAUAAAGAAGUAGGAUGAUCCUAAGACAAGUUUCAUAACCCCUAGUGUGACCUAUUGCUACCUUCAGAUGCCUAAGGGGCUCAAGAAUGCUGGAGGAAGCUUCAGCAGGAUGACCGCCAAAGUCCUUCACUCCCAAAUUGGCAAAAAUGUGCUGACAUAUGUUGAUGAUAUCAUAGUAAAGAGCAGAAAGCAAGAAAACCAUGUUGCUGAUUUGCAAGAAACAUUUGCUAACUUCAGAAGGGCUGGUCUUAAACUAAAUCCAGAGAAAUGUGUCUUCGGAGUGAAGAAGGGCAAAUUACUUGGUUGCUUGGUAUCAAUAAAGGGUAUCCAAGAUAAUCCAAGUAAGAUAGAAGCAAUACUUCGGAUGGAGACACCAAAGUCCAGAAAGGGUGCCCAGAGGUUCACAGGGAGGCUGGCAUCAUUGAACAGAUUUAUUUCAAGAUCAGCAGAGAGGAACUUGCCAUUCUUUGAAGUGCUGAAGUCAGUCGAAGUGUUUCAAUGGGGACCAACUCAGCAAAAAGCCUUCGAUGAACUGAAGUAGUAUUUGAUAGAGCUGACAACCUUAAAUCCACCUUCGUCAGGAACUCCAUUGUUGCUAUACGAGCUGCUUCCCACGCUGCGGUUAGUGCAGCGCUUGUACAAGAGAAGCAGGAUGGCCAGGCAAGAGUGCCAGUGUACUUCAUUUCUGAAGUACUUAGUGCAUCAAAGAAAAAUUAUACAGAGUUAGAGAAGGUGCUACAUGCUGUAUUAAUGGCUUCUAGGAAGCUUCAGCAUUACUUCCAAGCAUACCAUAUGAUAGUACCUUCUUCACAACCCCUUAAGGACAUAAUGAGAAAUAGAGAAGACACAUGAAGGAUUGGAAAAUGGGCUAUAGAAUUGAAUGAAUUCACUAUCGACUUCGUUCAUAGAUCUUCGAUCCAAUCCCAAGCAUUAGCAGACUUCAUUGCUGAUUGGACGCCAGAGGCUUAGGACGAAGACAAAACAACUGAUGCAAAGCCCAGACAGUAUUUUGUGAUGGAUCUUGGGGAACCUUUGGUGUAGGAGCAGCUGCUGUUUUGAUUUCACCAUCAAAAAUCAAAACCUGUUAUGCAGCAAGAUUAGACUUCACCUGCACAAAUAACAUUGUAGAGUACGGAGCCCUUCUCUUAGGGCUUCGAAAGCUUAAGGCAAUAGGAAUAAGAAGGGCAAUACUCAAAUCUGACUCACAAGUCAUUUCAGGACACAUUGACAAAAGUAGCAAAGCAAGGGACCCAAAGCUGUAAAAAUAUAUGGACGCAGUCCUAAAGAUGGAAGCCUCUUUCGAAGGUUUCUCUGUAAAAAACUUACCAAGAGGAGAAAAUGAGCACAAAGAUUUGUUAGCCAAAUCAGCGGCACAGGGGCUUCCGUUACCUUCGGAGGUGUUCUUUGAAAUAAUAAAAGCACCUUCGGUUGAGCUUAUGGAAAGGGCAGUGCUCACAAUCUCACCAUUGCACAGUAAAGAUUGGACGACUGAGAUCAUAUCUUUCCUCCAGGGCAAUUGCCUUUCGGAUGACGACGUUUACAAUAAAAGAAUGGAAGCAAGAACACGACCCUAUGUAAUUAUAGUGGGGGAAUUAUACAAACAAGGAGUCUACUCUCCAUUGCUCAAAUGCUUGUCCAAAGCCGAAGGUCAAGAAUUGAUGAAGGAGAUACAUGCAGGGUUGUGUGGAGCUCAUAUUGGGUCUAGGCCUCUGCUAGGGAGGGUUUUUAGACAAGGAUUUUACUAGCCGAAGGCAGCUUCGGAUGCAGUAGAUUUGGUUCAAAAAUGUGAAAAUUGCCAAAGAUGCGCUAGAGACCAGAAACAGCCUUCGUCUUUAACCCAGCUGAUAGAGCCCACUUGGCCACUACAAAGGUGGGGCUUAGAUUUGUUAGGUUCACUUCCACCAGCACAAGGCAACUUGAAAUAUGUUGUAGUGGCAGUGGAGUACUUCUCUAAGUGGAUCAAAGCUAAGUCCUUAGCUACAAUAACUUCGGCCACAGUACAGAAAUUCUUUUGGCAAAAUAUUGUUUGUCGCUUCGGUGUGCCGAAGGCUAUCACGGUUGACAAUGGAACUCAAUUCGAUGCUGAAAUAUUUAAAACCUUUUGUGAUCAGAUUGGUACAGAAAUACACUUUGCAUCAGUGAGACAUCCGGAGUCAAAUGGAUUGGUAGAAAGAGCAAAUGGAAUCAUAAUAACAGGAAUAAUGAAGUCAACUUUCAACUAGCCCAAAGAAAAGUGGCCAGACGAACUAAUAAAGGUGGUGUGGAACCACAACACUGUCGUAUCAAGGUCAACAGGAUUUACUCCAUUCAAUCUUUUGUUUGGUGACGAAGCAAUAACACCAGAAGAAGCAAGAAGGGGCUCAAUAAGGACCUUGGCUUCGACAGAAGAUGAAGAGGAUUGCAAAAUAACAAAAGACACCAUAGAAGGGACUAGGCUCCAUGCAGUAGACCACAUCAAUAAGUACCAGGCUGAAACAAUCAAAUGGCGCGACCGCAAGGUAAAAUUGAAGAAUAUCAAGCUAGGACAUUUGGUGCUUUGUAGAGUGGCCAACCCAGAUAAAGUGGGGAAGCUUCCGCUCAAGUGCGAAGGCCCCUUUUUGGUGGUACCUUCAUCGAGACCUGGAUCCUACAGGCUGAAAGACAUGGAUGGCAAUGACAUACCAAGGUCUUGGAAUGCAGAUGAGCUUCAAAGAUAUUACAUGUAAACUAUGCAAUUUUCUUAUUUUUUUCCUAUGGCACCGUUUUCCUUUCAAGAGAGGAGAAAGGUUUUUAAUGGGGCCAUAUGUUGUAAUUUUCAUUUUUUGUGUAGCCUUGUGCAAUACAAGGGCCAAAUUCCCCCACAUGUAAAAUGUAAAAUCUAUGACUACACCAUCGAGUGUAGAAGCCAUGAAGAAGCUCAAAAGUCGUCCCUAAGGGGAUGCAGAGCUAAGUUGUCACCUAAGAGGUAAGAAGCUCCAAAGUCAUUCCUAAAGGGACGCAGAGUAAGUUAUGAAGCUCCAAUGUCGUUCCUAAGGGAAUGCAGAACUAAAAUACCACCUAAAUCAAAGGUGAAGAAGCUCCAAAGUCAUUCCCAAGGAAAUGCAGAGCUUAAAUACCACCUAAGUAAAAGGUGAGGAGACUCAAAAGUCAUUCCUAUGGGGAUGCAGAGUUUGGAUGUGUUUCUGGCAUACAUUUGCAUAUUUCAUCACAUCAUCUUUUUGCAUUCAUACAGACAUACAUUAGACAUUCAUAGGCUCAUCAUCAUGGCUUAAAGCAUAGACAUUAACGAGAAAAAACAGGAGAUGAUUGUCUUCGAUGAGAAAAUGUUUCGAAGAUGCUUCGUAUCAAAUGAAACUUCGUUGUGCUCCGUUUCAAAUGAAAUCUGGUUGCACAUGAAAAUGCUUUGAUGUGAACGAAAAGAAGGGAAGGUGUUUUUCGCCUAUGGCUCAAAAGGUUACUAGCAUUUGUUUCGCCCGCCUUUAGCCCAAAUUUGAGUAAUAAAUCUAUUCCCUAUGCUUCAGGCUUCGGUUGGAACGUCAACCAGAUCUGAUGAUGAAAGAUUGAAAUUUGGCCUGUUGAUGGCUCUUGCGUGAUUACAUCCGUCUUUUAUGAAGGCAGCAGCUGUACCACGAGAAGCUACCAGCGCACAAAAGUCUCCAUGGUCGGUUAUGACUUCAUCGAGGACAUUAACCUCCUUUUCAAUACAUUCGAGUGCCCCGGGUACAUCUUCGGCAGAGAGGCUGGUUUCCUCAUGCAGCUCCAACUGAAUUGAAAAUACUUCUCAACCGAGCGGUGCAUUUGCUUGCAAACUUGAAGCAUCUCUCCUUCAGAGCCCUCAGCGCCUCACUAAGCUUCGUAUUUUUCUCAGUCGCAACCUUAAGUGUUGCUUUCAAGGCUUUGUUUUCUUGUUCGAAUUGAUUAGAAUUUUCCUUCAAAAGUGUCUAAGAGUCUGAUAGGUCUUUGCUUAACUUCUUGUUCUGAGUUUGCGCUUCAGCAAGGGACCCUUCGGCUGAACAUAGCAUUUUGUCUUUCUCCUUCAAAGAGGCUUUGAGUUCUUUGACCUUAUCCUCUAAACCUUUGAUAAUAAUUUCGUUUUUCCUGUAUUCGUCGUCUUGUUGUAUCUUUAAAGUUUUGCUUAGUAAUAAACUCUAUAAAAAAAGUUCAAACUUAGAAUAUUUAAGCUAAUACAGGCACACCAGGGGUAACUUAAAAUAAGGUACUUACUUUAAAGUUCGAAUAAAACAGGCUCCCUAUGAUAUGCUGGCGCCUGUAACAGCUGAUAUCCUUCUCAAGCUUCAGGAAUCCGAUGCUCUUUGAUAGGGUGCCUAUAAUUUUUGCACCGGCACGAUCGCGGAUGCAUCCUAUAACUUCUUCGUCCACUCCACCAAAGAGCAUGGACCCCGGUUUGUAGCCGUAGUUGAUAGAAAAAUCCUUCAACUCUGCCAUAUCCUCUUUGGAAAGCUGCUGGCCGCCCAGGUGCCGUAGGUCGAAGUCUGCUUCUUCCAAAGAGAUUUCUUUAGCCUUCUUCCUCUUGUCUGAAACUUCUGUGGCCACCUUCUUCUCCACAGCCACGUCUGAUAUAAUCUUGUCAAUAUCGGACAUGGUAGCUGUGAGACCUUCGCCUUCAGUUGCAAUGGUCGUGUCACACCUGGUUCUGGGGGCAAAACCGAAUGCAUAUCAUAUAUGGGUCAUGAUCCAUUUUCCACACAUAUGUUGACGUCACAAGUGUAAUAUAUCAAAAGACAAUGCAAUAAAGGCGUAAAAGGGAGUAGAGUAACUUUAUUACAUCAUCCAGAACAUUGUAUCUUAACAAGUAUCAUAAUCAAAGUACGGUGGAAUUAAACAUGGACACUCUUCCACAGGAAGGUGACUGUCGCUCUUUGGACUCAAAACUCAUCAAUGUCAUCUACGAAGUCUUCGUCAUGACCCUCUGAUCAAAAUAUUAGCAAGGGUGAGCUCACUUAUGGUCGGGGCUCAGCAAGUGGGGGAGAUAAUGCAAAGUUAACAAGGUAGGCUAUGGAUAAGAGGUAAGCAUUUUAGUUGAUCAAUAUUUUAUUAGCAACACCUGUCUUACUAAUAAGUGUGUCCCAAAAAUCCCAAUUAAUCAAAGGCAUAAGAUUAUAUCAAAAACACUUAAGUGAAAUCACUUAAGCAAACCACUAGUAGAUCAUUGGAUCACGAUUUAUUUUCCAUCUUUAAGUUCAAUUAUCAUGUGAGGGUCCAGGUUGCUCUUAACCGUGAGCACGACUGACAUAUCAGUUUUACACUCUGCAGAGGUGGUACAAAUUAACCCACAAGCCGUGUAUCCCAUCUAGCCUGGGUUGAUUGGACCCAUAAACACUGCCGAGGUGAAUGGCUAGGGAUCCACUAUGAGGCUUUCACAGAAUAUCCUUAGUACAAAGCCACCAGCUAAGGUUUCCACGUCAGUAUUGAUGGCCCUCUAGGUGAGGUAACUUAGCCAAGACUACCGCCCCAUGUUAACAUGAGCUGCCAUCAAACCAUUGUCGCUCCCUCUUUCCCAUCUUUCAAGUAGGUUGCUAAGCACUAAGUCUAUAGAGCUAAUUACCAAAGCCAGAGCCAUUAUAGCACUCGUGGUUGCACUAUUAUCCUGGGUGGUCACUCCAUGUUCCAUUUAAUACAAAAUGUUCUUGUUUAACCAUCGGGUUAACAUCAUAAAUAAAACUUCAUUUCCGGAACAUAGUAUCAUUAAAAGAGUGACAUCAUAUUUAUCAAGUUGAGCAAUAGCAAAAAUUGCUAAGCAUAGCAUUUAUCCCAGGGUAAUUCAAGGAAUAGGGUUGGUAAUUCUAGGAAAUCCUUAUUUAGGCAAAUCCCAUCAAAUUAUGCAAUAUCCAAAAAGUAAACAUUAUUUUAUGCAUUAUUUGGGUACAAAUAGAAAUAAUCUACAUCAUAAGUUAAAGAAUCAUGACAAUCUAUGUAUUUUUUCAAAUUAUAAAAAUAAUAUCUAUAUUCAAAAUAUUAUUGUCGGGGUUGAUUCCAAAUUACAUGUAUACUUUGGGGAGUAGCACAUAAGAUUUUAGGACUUAUUUUUGAUACAUUUGUACUGCAGAAAAUACAGGAAUAAUUUCUAGAAAACUGGAGGGCCAAAACACAAAAUGGUCGUCUUCUACCUUGAGUUCGUGCUUGUGUGCAGGGAGGAGCUUGACGGGGGGGAGUCGGCCGGACAGGGAGCAGGGAAGUGGAAGGCGACUCGGUCGAGGUGGCUGGGGACGGGUGCGGCUGGGGGCACAGUGUAGACUGACGGUCUAGUGAGCUCCACGGACGGCGAGGGCGAGCAGAGCAUGGCGCGGGUGAGAGAAAGAGGAGAGGGAGAGCUUGAGCAGGGGAGAGGGAGAGAGCUCGAUCGGUCCUUUUAUAGAGGGAGAGGGGAAUGGGAGAGGGCAUCGGGGGGAGAAGCAAUGGACGGCCAUCAAUGGCCCUAAUGGCGGCGGUGACGAUUUCUUCAAUAAUGGCGAGGAGAAGUGUGUUAGGGAGAGGAGGAGGUGGCGCGACGGUUUCUGGUGCAGUGGAAACCGAGGGGACGAGGGCCGGGGCACGGGGUCGACGUCCGGGCAGCUCGGCGGGGGCGCUCCUGCGUGGGCGCAAAGACGAGGAAGAAAGGGCACCUGGCGGGUGGGGCCCGUAGGUAAGUGAGAGAGGGAGAGGGUAGAUGGGGAGAUGGCGGCCGGUUUGGGCCUAAUGGGCCAAAUUGGCUAGCUCGUCUAGGGUUUCAAAAUUUUCUUUUUUUCCUUUUUUUCUUUUUACCAAAAAUAUAAUCAAAUAUAUUUUUAAAUAUAUCUAAAAAUCAUAAUAAUUAUCUAAAAUUAUUUAUGACCAAAAUAUUUAUUUUUGGACCAAUAUUUCUAUAUUAAUUAAUUGGAUUUUCAAUAUAAAAUAAAUUCUACGAAACAACCAUAAAUCAAAUAUGAGCAAACAAAAUUAUUCUAAAUGCAAAUAAAAAUCAAACACGUGAAAGAAAAAUUCAUUACUAUAUUUACCACUAAUAAUCUAAAUGCAUUAUUUUUAGUUGAUGGUUUUGUGGUGUUACAGGCAGCUUUGGCAUCAAUAGGUUUGACAGUCUUGUCUGCCGAAGCUGGAGGUGGGGUUUGCUCAAUCGCCUGUAGUAUCAUACGUCGCUUUUUUGUCCCCCGUCUCUUCCAUCGGUAGCCAAAGGGAUUUCCUUUUUCUAAAAAAGGUUUGUCAGUUCCAAUCCUAGAGGACUUAGCAGCUUGAAUGGUGGGGAUUCAGUCAUUACCUUCAAAAUUUCUCACACUUCGACAACAGAAGGUGACAGAGGGCUUGAAGUUUUCUUCGGCGCAUCAUGUACAUUCAGUUCGACAGAAGGCAUCCAGUCAGGCUUCCGUUCCUUAGGAGCUAGUGCCUUCAGCUUCGAAGCUGUUUUCAUUUUCUUCGAAGCCUCCUCGUCUUCCUUCACAGACCGGGCAGCUUGCCUGCUCAAAAUACUAACAACCCUUUUCCUUUUCGCUCCCCUGGCCCCUUCAUCAAGUCUGUCAUAAUCCGGGUACUCGAAGUUCAGGGCAUCCAUUACCCGAUUUAACCUUCGUUUCGGCCGGGUGCCGAAGGCAGCAGUCAUUAGUUGAUCUUCCUUUGUGUAGUUCCCAAGGAUCUCAUUACACAUGGUCUCUAUCAUCUCUAACCAUUCAGUACACGGUUUCUUGAAUUGCUUCUCAAAUUUGAAGCGGAAGGGGAGUCGAACAAGUUCAUAUUUCUUUCCCCCUUCCUUCUUCUUCGGCAUCCCCCAGCCGCUAGAGGUUGGAAAAGUUUUUGUCGCAGAACCUCCCAAGUUAUCGGGCCCACAUGCACCUGUCCUUGUCUCAAAGACCUUAGACGACUAUGCAUGUGCACCAAACAACUUAACAGGAUCUGUCCGAGUGCCCCAAGGACCCCGGAUAAACGACUUACCGCCAAGAUCGCAGGAUUAAGUAAUCACAAAUCACACACCAACAUUUGCAGCGGAAAUUCUUUAUUACAAAAUGGUUACAAGUUACAACAGUUACAAGUUAUAACAAGAUUACAAUAUAUAUCAUCGGAGUUGAUUACAAAAGAAAUUUAUUCAAAAAGAUUACAAUUUGAAUGUAUAAAACAUUUAUAAGUUUUAAAAUACAUGCUAGCUUAAGAGACAAUCCUCGAUAGAGAAGCUAAAGAUGGGAUAUACUUAUAUAAGAAGGCCGAGCCCACCGACACUUAGCACCAUCCACAACAGAACAAAAUUAUAACCUGAAAAACAACAGGGAAUAAAACCCUGAGUAUGGACUUACUCAGCAAGACUUACCCGACUAAAGAAAAGACUCUCAAGGGUAUGCUGGUUUGUUGGGAAUCAAGGUAAAGCUCAUCAAAUUUCAAACACUCGUUUUUGCAGAAAAGCUUACUAGUAGUGGAUGCUUAUGCCAAACUUUUACUUCACAGAUUAAGUACUUUUCCUGAAUCUAGAUUUGCCUAAUCUAGAGCAUUCACUUAUCCUACACUAGCUUCCUUUUAGCAACUUUAGUUUCACUUGUUAUCUACGAUGCAGGGCAGUGAUCCAGUCUUCAUAUCUGAGAAGUAACGGCGAUCCGAAUCAAUUAAUACUCAGUUGAGGAUCUCCAACCACACGACAUAUGUAUCACUUAACCCUUGCAUAUGUCAACUCGCCCACGGGUUUCUCAAGACCAGAACGGGUCCCCGCCAACCGAGAGCUCAGUACCCCACCAUCCAGCCUCUUGCCAGGUGGAUACACGAUACUCUCGCCAUCUCUCCACUCCCAUUGCGGGCCAGCCUUUCUGAUUUUGGUCCAGCCGAGGCUAAGCUUACCCAUGACGAGGCAUGUGGCCAGUUAAAGGGUCCUAGAUCAGCAAUCCUACUUUCGGUACGAUCCUUAAUCGACACAGACGGGCGACCUUUCCUGUUCAACGUCUGGUCUCAUAUUAUUAUUUCCUUCCCAAAACCAUGUACCUGACAGAGGUACCAUACUUGAAUGAUGAAUUCAUCACUGCAGAUGAUGCUCUCACCAUUACAAGUCCUUUUUCAUAAAACUAACCCAUACCAGUGUUACACAGCAUUCUUUUAAAAAUAAUCAAGUUUUAGUUCUCUAGGCAGGGCUAAGCCUCAUUAGUUCUCUUUAUAAAACAGGUAGCAAGGAGGAUAAUCAAAUUCCAAGGAAUGGUAAUGCAUCAAUUGUUUAUUCACACAACUCCUAUCACCUAAUGCAGCAGGUAAGUGAUAAAAGUUUUUAAAACAGAAGUAGGUGGCAAAUGCACCGGGGCUUGCCUGGGAUAACACUACGUUAGUGUUGUUAGAUGACGUCCACGUGGCGAUCAUCUCACAUCCUGGCGCUUGAUCAGAUCACGCAAAUCUUCAAGUUUAUUCAUCAGUAUUCCUUGCGAAGAAGCCCACGCUUAACACCAUAUUGUGGUCGACUCAGCUCUGGUCCACCAUAUCACAUGAUCACUUAACAUACCUAAAUGAUAUGCAUAAUGCACAUGGGCAUGGGCAUAAAAAGCACAAUAUAUAAUCUAUACUAAGGGCUUGUUCGUUUUGCUCUCAAUCCAUGUGGAUUGGGUGGGAUUGGAUGAGUUUCAAUCCCAAACAAGUCAAAAUCUUUCACAAUUUUUUCCAAUCCCAUCCAAUCCACAUGGGAUAGGAAUAACCGAACAAGCCCUAAAGAGGAUAACACUUAAAACAAACAUUAAAACCCUUGGGGGUAACUACUAGAUACAUUUAAUUCUAUAUCACUCAUGACCUUCUAGUCAAAUGGACCUAACCAGAUAUCAAGAAAGCAAUACAUCAUUUUUAGACAACAAGGCAUUUGAUCAAGCAUUUAUUUGCAACUAUGUAAGCAUAAGGACAUAGACGAAGCUAAUCCCAAGUCACACGUAUUGUAAUCAAUGAAUUACUAGUUAAUUAAGCUGCAUGAUCAUUACUACCUGGAUACCUUACUCUCCAAACAAAAACUCAAGUACCAGCAUGAGAAGGCCUAGAUAUAUACAAAUCCACAAUACUAUCCCUUACUAACUUUCAAUUAGUAAUAGAGAACACUUAAACGACAUGACCUGAUAGAAUCAAUAUGACAAACCACUAAUGAACCAUAAGUAAAUCUCCAUCUAUGACAUUUACUCAAUCAACAAAUAUAAAAUAUGACAAUUACUAAAACAAGCCAUCACUUCAUCAAUUAAGAAUAAAAAAUUGACUAAUCCAACCUAGCCAAACAAGAAUGACUCCAAACAAUCAAUUUAACACAUGCAGAUUUUGGACAGCAGUACAGUAGUCAACAGUUUUGCUCAUAACAUGCAAAAUAUGCAUCCAAAAAUCGUGAACUAAGACUUUCUAGAAAGCUUAAGAAGUCCUCUACAACUUUUGUAUUAUCAUCAUAGUGAGACUUGACACUUAGGAUGGUCAAACAAUGCUAAACGUAAAUUCUGUCCAGAUUUGAACAGAAUUCGACUACUUACUUCAAAAAUUUAUAACUGGAGUUUCAGGCAUCCAAAUCAGGUGAUCCUAGACUUUUUAGAAAGCUAUUAGAGUUGUCUACAAUUCAUUUAUAAACAUCUCAAGGUGAUUCAAUGUGCAUCGACGUCAGUUAAUACAAACAAACAUUGCUGUUCAGAUUUGGACAUAUUCAGACUCUAUAGUUCAAAGAGCUGUAACUUGGUCUCUAUACCACCAAAAAGGGUGUCCAAAAUUUUUUAGAAAGCUUAAGCAAAGUACUACAAUUUUCCUAUAAUUACUAAGAGCUGAUUCUCAGUUUAACUUGGGAAAACAAUGUCAUUUUCCAAAUCUGUACAGAAUCUGGACAUAUUCUGAAACUGGACUUGGAAAAGUCAUAACUCCUAAACUACUAAACCUAUGAUCAUGAAAUUUUUACACAAGUAAGAUAAAGAAAUUAUCUACAACUUUUAUAUAUCACACUUUCACAGAAAAUAUGAUUUACUUUACUAAACCAGCUGCAUAAAUAAAAUCGUACCUCCAGCCCUAAACAGCAGGAAUUCCAGCUUAGUUCCUAUUUAAGUUAACCACACCUUACCAACUCCUUUAUCAAAGCAUCCAUUGCCUAAUUUGCAUCAUAAACCAAUCUUUAGAUCAAACAAGAAAAAGGGGUACUGUGCUUGCCUGGGCCGGUUUUCACCUUUUCGGCCCAGCUUCCGAUCCCUUCUGCGCGGCCCACUCCUCCACCGCGCGCUUCCGCUCUCACCUCCGCGUGGGGCCCGGACGUCAGGAACUCCUUCUCCCUCCCGUAUCCACUUUUCUGUUGGGCGCUGUUUCUCUUCCUGGCGAGAUCUCCGCUGAGCUCGAUCCAGUGAUGAAAUUCGUUGGGAUCCCCGGGUCUCUCGCUUGCCGUUCUAAACGACCGUGGACUGGCUCCCCUAGGCUCGGACCUCGUAGCUUGUAUAAAGCUGAGCCUCCCUUCCGCUCCCUUCGCCCGAUCCGACCUGCGCCCUCUUCCAUUCCCCACUGCCUCUCGCGCGCAAGUCCUGGGUGCCGUUGUUGCUUGAAUUUGGGGGCGACCAGCUUCGGCCGCCGUCAUUACCAUCAAUGGCGAGGUCGCUGGGGAGUCCACACGAAGCAUCGCCGCACGGCAAUCUGGAAGCGAGGGUGUCGACUAAUUGUACUGCGGUGGGUGGGGGUCGCGCACGGCCGCCGGAGGAAUCACGCCUGCGCCUUCAAAUGGUCACGGCGUGUGGCUUCGGGGUGUUCAGUUGGCCAUCGCGAAGUCGAUUCGGGGGUUCGGUGCACUCGAGGAGUCCUUCGGGUGGGGCGAUUUCUCGCUGAUGUGAUGAACGACCGCCGUGUCCGUCGCUCACCGCGGGAGGCCUCACCGGUGCCAUAAUAACAGGUAUGGAUCUCUCCUCUGUGUUCGCCGCACCCUCAAUUUUGGUUAGCAACCGUCCAACGGCGCGUAGAUCCGCGUAUGCACUGGAUUGGGUGCUCACCGACGUUCUCCGCCGUGGUGAUCACCUGGGCAUCGCGACCGGGGCUCUCUGGACGCGUGAGGUAGGAGACGCUCUGGUCACCGUUGGAUCUUCACCGACGGCGUAGAUUAGACUGGGUCUAGCGCUUUAGAGUAUCGCAUCUGGGGCGUUAGAUCGAGAUCCGAGGGCCACAGCUCGAUCUCUCCUUCAUUAAAUCCGGGCGGCUGAUCUCAUAUCGGAUGGAGGGGAUCGCAUACCGGUUCGCGAUGUAAUCUUGGCCGCUAGAUCAUAAUCUAGCGACACAGAUUCGCCCACCAUUAUGACUGCCUGGUAGUUUUAUAGAAGAGCCCCUGGAAAUUACUAGAAAUAACCCGCAGUCCCAUUCUGGGAGUAGAUGAGUCUUAGCAUAUCUUGCGCAGAGGCCCCUAUGUCUCUGUUUAAUUGGCGCCCAGUCCUGGGAAUUAGAAAAAUCCAGAAAAGUAAUUAGGAAAGGAAUUUCUAAUGUAAAAAUAAAUACUAGGACUUGUUUAAUUCAUAUAAAAUUCAUAUUAAGUCUAAAUGAGUACAUUCCAGUUCUUAUAAUUUUAUAAUAUUAUCGAUUAUCAAAUAGUGCCACUGAUUUGACAUGAAAGCCACUUUAAAAUCUAUUUCCUAAUUAAUCUUAUAUGAAAUACAUAAAACCUUAGGAAAUUCAUAACUUCUCCGCUUUGACUCCGAUUUGAUCCGUUCAAGUUGCGUUAGUCUCAUAGAAACGCGUAGAUCAUUAUUUUGCAGUAUGUUCUUAUGUUUGGUGUGAUGUUAAUUUUGUCUAUACCAUGUAUGUUUGUAUGGCUACGACUAGCAGUGAGGUUUCGAGGAUUUGAAGAAUCACCCUGGUAAUUGGAAUCUCAAGUCCUAGGCAAGUUGUGCCCUUGAUCACUUCUUUUACCCACUCAUGUUCUAAUUAAUCAUAAUGAGCUGCAUAGGUUAAUUUUGAUGGGACCCAAUAGGUUACCCUAGUUUGUCUAUCUUUAUGCCUUGUUUACCACUGAACUUUUUGGGUAGUACUUGCUAGUGCUAUAUGUGGUUUUGGGCAUUGAGAUACACAUUAUUCAUGAUUAUACUUUUGUUAUCCGUUGUUAUUUACUGUUCAUGUCAAGAUCAUUAAUGUUAAUUGGAACAUAGAGCUUAACUUGAGAAACACGUGCCACCACAAGGGUUUAUGGACGCCCUUGGCUGAUUAAUUAGGAAAGCUAGUGGAGGACUACCUUACCCGAAAGGGGCAAGGGCAGUAGGGGAGUGGUCAGUGUAGGGAGGCCCUCGGGAGGAUUUUGCUGCGAUGGCGGUCCUGCAAGGGAUUCCUGCAUUGGAGCUUCCUAUAAACUGUAGCGGGUUUUCUGAAGCUAGUGGAACUUUGUAAAGGCCUCGUAGUGUUACCCUGCCUCGCCUCCUCGGUAGAGGUGUAUGGGAAGUCGCGAUCCCUUGGCAGAUGGGUAACAUGACUUGUGGGUAAAGGGUACCACCUCUGCAGAGUGUAAAACUGGUAUACUAGCCGAGCUCACGGUCAUGAGCAGCUCAGGACUCUCUGAUGAUUAAUUUAUGGAACUAAAUUCAAUUUGUCAUAUGCAUUGCAUCGCAGGUGAUGAUGUUACUUUUGUUCCACUACUUAAUUGGGUUGGUAUUUACUUAUACUUAAUAAUUGCUAAUAAAAUUUUGACCAACUUUAAAAGCAAUGCCCAGCUCUAACCAUCCUCUUUGGUAAGCCUUACACUUCACGUGAGCUCCCACCUUUGGCGAGUUCAUGCACAUUAUUCCCCACAACUUGUUGAGCGAUGAACGUAUGUGAGCUCACUCUUGCUGUCUCACACCCCCCCCACAGGUCAAGACCAGGUACCACAGGAUGAGGCGCUUGGAGGAUGCUGUGAUGUGUUCGUGAGAGAUCUAGGCCGUCGUCUCCCAGUCAACUUUGGGUUGCUGGACCGUUGUCUCCUUAUAAUGUAAUUAUUUAUUUAUUUUGUAUGGAAUUCCUGUUAAGUAGUAAAGAUGUGACAUUCGAUCCUGUGCCAUGAUUCAUCAUAUGUGUGAGACUUGGUCCCAGCACACCUGGUGAUUAUGUUCGCGCCCGGGUUUUGGACCCCUAAAAUCCGGGUGUGACAGAAGUGGUAUCAGAGGAAUGUUGACUGUAGGACGAAACCUAGAUAGAACUGGACAACCAUUAUCUACUUACCUUUGCUACUCUGAUUCUUUUCUAAACUUAUCUUAAUCUUUUCUCAUCUAUCUCCGCUUUACUCUGAUUAUUCUUACCUUUUCUUUCUAAAUACAACUGUGGAUUUCACACUUUGAAAUCCUGUACCUAAAGUGACCUUUAGGAAUAGGAGACCUACUCUUAGGAAAAAAAACAAAACUAUUUUUUUAUCUAUAUGCUUGAAUGUUUGUUCUUAUGAUACUUGUCUGAUUUGGAUCUUUGAUUGAGUGUGAUGGGUUGUGGAGUAAUGUCCACAAUUACAUCCGCAUAUACGUAUAGGCAUAAAUGGAAUUCAUAAAAUAACUAGCCAACUUGGAUUAUCCCCCACUAAAAUAUGUUAAGCUUAAUAGAUCUACGUUAUCUUAAAAGACACUUUAUUACUUUAGUAGACUCAUCUUAUCUUGAAAAGACUUUAUCUCACCUUAAUAGAUCUAACUGACCUCAAAAGAUUCCCUCUUAUCUUAAUAGAUCCAUCUUAUCUUAAAAAAUUAUAUCUUAUCCUAAUAGGAUCAUCUUAUCCUAACCACUUUACUUAUCUCAUCCUAAAGUAACAACCAUGAUCUAAUUAAGAAGGUCCUAUCUAGUCUAUCUAGUCAUAACAAUCUAACCUAGAUCUGAUCCAGUGUGAUAGAAUAAUCUAACCUAAUGAAGGCUAACCCUAAGUGGAGCUAAUCUAAUGUAAGUUACUUAAUGCUGGUACAAAGGAUAAGGCCAUACUCCUAAUCCACUUAAGACUAAAUUGGUGACUUAAAUCAACUCGGUUAUACCCAACAACUUGACCUACAUAACAGAUCAAUCUUAGCCUCUUGUCCCAAACCCGGAUGGAGACGCCAAAGAGCAAGAAGGAGGAGACCAACCUCGACAUGGAAGAAUAGGAGUCAAAUCAGAUCACAAGAUGAUUCAAGAUUUACCACCUUGGAUGGAGCCUUCCCUUACCAAGUUCUUCUUACCAUCAGCUAACCUCACUCUGCCCAUCUCUCUUCUUACCUAACUGUGUUCCUAAACAUCGAAGAUACCCAUGCUCUCCUAAUCACUCACUAAUGAAAAAAAAGGACUCUUGAUUUUUGAACUAAUUAGAAACUAAAAGCUAAAAUUCUAAAACACUCUUCCCAUAUCCUCUUUCUUACAAAUCUCGGGGACGAGAUUAUUUUUAAGGGGGGUAGGAUUUGUAACACCCACUUUGUAAUUUGCUAGAAAUAAUACCAAUAGAUAAACAAUUUCUCUUUAUGUGAGUUUGAUCUUUAUGCAUCAUCAUAUGUGAACACCAUGCCCAAAAACAAUUAAUAAAAAGAUAUGCUACUUAACCAUUGCAUCAUGCUGAAUAUUUUAUUUGUCUGUGUGCAUUUUUUUUUUGACAAUAUUAUAAUAAUGUAAAAAAAAUAUGUUAAAUAUCCAGAUGGGGAUUUAAAUCCUAAAAUAAUUCUAGAAUCAAGAAAAGAGAGAAGGAAAAGAUUAUACAAAAUAGAGGAAAAUAAAUAUAUGAAAUAUUACAUUUUGUCUCUACUAAUAUUUUAAUUUAGGCAUUUAACUCAGGUAGGAAGCUCACAAACAAGUUUGAAUUCAAAAUGGAGAUUUAAAAGUGAAAAGAAAAGAAAAUGAAAAAAAAGAAAAAGGGGUACUGUGCUUGCCUGGGCCGGUUUUCACCUUUUCGGCCCAGCUUCCGAUCCCUUCUGCGCGGCCCACUCCUCCACCGCGCGCUUCCGCUCUCACCUCCGCGUGGGGCCCGGACGUCAGGAACUCCUUCUCCCUCCCGUAUCCACUUUUCUAUUGGGCGCUGUUUCUCUUCCUGGCGAGAUCUCCGCUGAGCUCGAUCCAGUGAUGAAAUUCGUUGGGAUCCCCGGGUCUCUCGCUUGCCGUUCUAAACGACCGUGGACUGGCUCCCCUAGGCUCGGACCUCGUAGCUUGUAUAAAACUGAGCCUCCCUUCCGCUCCCUUCGCCCGAUCCGACCUGCGCCCUCUUCCAUUCCCCACUGCCUCUCGCGCGCAAGUCCUGGGUGCCGUUGUUGCUUGAAUUUGGGGGCGACCAGCUUCGGUCGCCGUCAUUACCAUCAAUGGCGAGGUCGCUGGGGAGUCCACACGAAGCAUCGCCGCACGGCAAUCUGGAAGCGAGGGUGUCGACUAAUUGUACUGCGAUGGGUGGGGGUCGCGCACGGCCGCCGGAGGAAUCACGCCUGCGCCUUCAAAUGGUCACGGCGUGUGGCUUCGGGGUGUUCAGUUGGCCAUCGCGAAGUCGAUUCGGGGGUUCGGUGCACUCGAGGAGUCCUUCGGGUGGGGCGAUUUCUCGCCGAUGUGAUGAACGACCGCCGUGUCCGUCGCUCACCGCGGGAGGCCUCACCGGUGCCAUAAUAACAGGUAUGGAUCUCUCCUCUGUGUUCGCCGCACCCUCAAUUUUGGUUAGCAACCGUCCAACGGCGCGUAGAUCCGCGUAUGCACUGGAUUGGGUGCUCACCGACGUUCUCCGCCGUGGUGAUCACCUGGGCAUCGCGACCGGGGCUCUCUGGACGCGUGAGGUAGGAGACGCUCUGGUCACCGUUGGAUCUUCACCGACGGCGUAGAUUAGACUGGGUCUAGCGCUUUAGAGUAUCGCAUCUGGGGCGUUAGAUCGAGAUCCGAGGGCCACAGCUCGAUCUCUCCUUCAUUAAAUCCGGGCGGCUGAUCUCAUAUCGGAUGGAGGGGAUCGCAUACCGGUUCGCGAUGUAAUCUUGGCCGCUAGAUCAUAAUCUAGCGACACAGAUUCGCCCACCAUUAUGACUGCCUGGUAGUUUUAUAGAAGAGCCCCUGGAAAUUACUAGAAAUAACCCGCAGUCCCAUUCUGGGAGUAGAUGAGUCUUAGCAUAUCUUGCGCAGAGGCCCCUAUGUCUCUGUUUAAUUGGCGCCCAGUCCUGGGAAUUAGAAAAAUCCAGAAAAGUAAUUAGGAAAGGAAUUUCUAAUGUAAAAAUAAAUACUAGGACUUGUUUAAUUCAUAUAAAAUUCAUAUUAAGUCUAAAUGAGUACAUUCCAGUUCUUAUAAUUUUAUAAUAUUAUCGAUUAUCAAAUAGUGCCACUGAUUUGACAUGAAAGCCACUUUAAAAUCUAUUUCCUAAUUAAUCUUAUAUGAAAUACAUAAAACCUUAGGAAAUUCAUAACUUCUCCGCUUUGACUCCGAUUUGAUCCGUUCAAGUUGCGUUAGUCUCAUAGAAACGCGUAGAUCAUUAUUUUGCAGUAUGUUCUUAUGUUUGGUGUGAUGUUAAUUUUGUCUAUACCAUGUAUGUUUGUAUGGCUACGACUAGCAGUGAGGUUUCGAGGAUUUGAAGAAUCACCCUGGUAAUUGGAAUCUCAAGUCCCAGGCAAGUUGUGCCCUUGAUCACUUCUUUUACCCACUCAUGUUCUAAUUAAUCAUAAUGAGCUGCAUAGGUUAAUUUUGAUGGGACCCAAUAGGUUACCCUAGUUUGUCUAUCUUUAUGCCUUGUUUACCACUGAACUUUUUGGGUAGUACUUGCUAGUGCUAUAUGUGGUUUUGGGCAUUGAGAUACACAUUAUUCAUGAUUAUACUUUUGUUAUCCGUUGUUAUUUACUGUUCAUGUCAAGAUCAUUAAUGUUAAUUGGAACAUAGAGCUUAACUUGAGAAACACGUGCCACCACAAGGGUUUAUGGACGCCCUUGGCUGAUUAAUUAGGAAAGCUAGUGGAGGACUACCUUACCCGAAAGGGGCAAGGGCAGUAGGGGAGUGGUCAGUGUAGGGAGGCCCUCGGGAGGAUUUUGCUGCGAUGGCGGUCCUGCAAGGGAUUCCUGCAUUGGAGCUUCCUAUAAACUGUAGCGGGUUUUCAGAAGCUAGUGGAACUUUGUAAAGGCCUCGUAGUGUUACCCUGCCUCGCCUCCUCGGUAGAGGUGUAUGGGAAGUCGCGAUCCCUUGGCAGAUGGGUAACAUGACUUGUGGGUAAAGGGUACCACCUCUGCAGAGUGUAAAACUGGUAUACUAGCCGAGCUCACGGUCAUGAGCAGCUCAGGACUCUCUGAUGAUUAAUUUAUGGAACUAAAUUCAAUUUGUCAUAUGCAUUGCAUCGCAGGUGAUGAUGUUACUUUUGUUCCACUACUUAAUUGGGUUGGUAUUUACUUAUACUUAGUAAUUGCUAAUAAAAUUUUGACCAACUUUAAAAGCAAUGCCCAGCUCUAACCAUCCUCUUUGGUAAGCCUUACACUUCACGUGAGCUCCCACCUUUGGCGAGUUCAUGCACAUUAUUCCCCACAACUUGUUGAGCGAUGAACGUAUGUGAGCUCACUCUUGCUGUCUCACACCCCCCCACAGGUCAAGACCAGGUACCACAGGAUGAGGCGCUUGGAGGAUGCUGUGAUGUGUUCGUGAGAGAUCUAGGCCGUCGUCUCCCAGUAAACUUUGGGUUGCUGGACCGUUGUCUCCUUAUAAUGUAAUUAUUUAUUUAUUUUGUAUGGAAUCCUGUUAAGUAGUAAAGAUGUGACAUUCGAUCCUGUGCCAUGAUUCAUCAUAUGUGUGAGACUUGGUCCCAGCACACCUGGUGAUUAUGUUCGCGCCCGGGUUUUGGACCCCUAAAAUCCGGGUGUGACAGAAGUGGUAUCAGAGGAAUGUUGACUGUAGGACGAAACCUAGAUAGAACUGGACAACCAUUAUCUACUUACCUUUGCUACUCUGAUUCUUUUCUAAACUUAUCUUAAUCUUUUCUCAUCUAUCUCCGCUUUACUCUGAUUAUUCUUACCUUUUCUUUCUAAAUACAACUGUGGAUUUCACACUUUGAAAUCCUGUACCUAAAGUGACCUUUAGGAAUAGGAGACCUACUCUUAGGAAAAAAAAACAAAACUAUUUUUUUAUCUAUAUGCUUGAAUGUUUGUUCUUAUGAUACUUGUCUGAUUUGGAUCUUUGAUUGAGUGUGAUGGGUUGUGGAGUAAUGUCCACAAUUACAUCCGCAUAUACGUAUAGGCAUAAAUGGAAUUCAUAAAAUAACUAGCCAACUUGGAUUAUCCCCCACUAAAAUAUGUUAAGCUUAAUAGAUCUACGUUAUCUUAAAAGACACUUUAUUACUUUAGUAGACUCAUCUUAUCUUGAAAAGACUUUAUCUCACCUUAAUAGAUCUAACUGACCUCAAAAGAUUCCCUCUUAUCUUAAUAGAUCCAUCUUAUCUUAAAAAAAUUAUAUCUUAUCCUAAUAGGAUCAUCUUAUCCUAACCACUUUACUUAUCUCAUCCUAAAGUAACAACCAUGAUCUAAUUAAGAAGGUCCUAUCUAGUCUAUCUAGUCAUAACAAUCUAACCUAGAUCUGAUCCAGUGUGAUAGAAUAAUCUAACCUAAUGAAGGCUAACCCUAAGUGGAGCUAAUCUAAUGUAAGUUACUUAAUGCUGGUACAAAGGAUAAGGCCAUACUCCUAAUCCACUUAAGACUAAAUUGGUGACUUAAAUCAACUCGGUUAUACCCAACAACUUGACCUACAUAACAGAUCAAUCUUAGCCUCUUGUCCCAAACCCGGAUGGAGACGCCAAAGAGCAAGAAGGAGGAGACCAACCUCGACAUGGAAGAAUAGGAGUCAAAUCAGAUCACAAGAUGAUUCAAGAUUUACCACCUUGGAUGGAGCCUUCCCUUACCAAGUUCUUCUUACCAUCAGCUAACCUCACUCUGCCCAUCUCUCUUCUUACCUAACUGUGUUCCUAAACAUCGAAGAUACCCAUGCUCUCCUAAUCACUCACUAAUGAAAAAAAAGGACUCUUGAUUUUUGAACUAAUUAGAAACUAAAAGCUAAAAUUCUAAAACACUCUUCCCAUAUCCUCUUUCUUACAAAUCUCGGGGACGAGAUUAUUUUUAAGGGGGGUAGGAUUUGUAACACCCACUUUGUAAUUUGCUAGAAAUAAUACCAAUAGAUAAACAAUUUCUCUUUAUGUGAGUUUGAUCUUUAUGCAUCAUCAUAUGUGAACACCAUGCCCAAAAACAAUUAAUAAAAAGAUAUGCUACUUAACCAUUGCAUCAUGCUGAAUAUUUUAUUUGUCUGUGUGCAUUUUUUUUUGACAAUAUUAUAAUAAUGUAAAAAAAAUAUGUUAAACAUCCAGAUGGGGAUUUAAAUCCUAAAAUAAUUCUAGAAUCAAGAAAAGAGAGAAGGAAAAGAUUAUACAAAAUAGAGGAAAAUAAAUAUAUGAAAUAUUACAUUUUGUCUCUACUAAUAUUUUAAUUUAGGCAUUUAACUCAGGUAGGAAGCUCACAAACAAGUUUGAAUUCAAAAUGGAGAUUUAAAAGUGACAAGAAAAGAAAAUGAAAAAAAAAGAAAAAGGGGUACUGUGCUUGCCUGGGCCGGUUUUCACCUUUUCGGCCCAGCUUCCGAUCCCUUCUGCGCGGCCCACUCCUCCACCGCGCGCUUCCGCUCUCACCUCCGCGUGGGGCCCGGACGUCAGGAACUCCUUCUCCCUCCCGUAUCCACUUUUCUAUUGGGCGCUGUUUCUCUUCCUGGCGAGAUCUCCGCUGAGCUCGAUCCAGUGAUGAAAUUCGUUGGGACCCCCGGGUCUCUCGCUUGCCGUUCUAAACGACCGUGGACUGGCUCCCCUAGGCUCGGACCUCGUAGCUUGUAUAAAGCUGAGCCUCCCUUCCGCUCCCUUCGCCCGAUCCGACCUGCGCCCUCUUCCAUUCCCCACUGCCUCUCGCGCGCAAGUCCUGGGUGCCGUUGUUGCUUGAAUUUGGGGGCGACCAGCUUCGGCCCCCGUCAUUACCAUCAAUGGCGAGGUCGCUGGGGAGUCCACACGAAGCAUCGCCGCACGGCAAUCUGGAAGCGAGGGUGUCGACUAAUUGUACUGCGGUGGGUGGGGGUCGCGCACGGCCGUCGGAGGAAUCACGCCUGCGCCUUCAAAUGGUCACGGCGUGUGGCUUCGGGGUGUUCAGUUGGCCAUCGCGAAGUCGAUUCGGGGGUUCGGUGCACUCGAGGAGUCCUUCGGGUGGGGCGAUUUCUCGCCGAUGUGAUGAACGACCGCCGUGUCCGUCGCUCACCGCGGGAGGCCUCACCGGUGCCAUAAUAACAGGUAUGGAUCUCUCCUCUGUGUUCGCUGCACCCUCAAUUUUGGUUAGCAACCGUCCAACGGUGCGUAGAUCCGCGUAUGCACAGGAUUGGGUGCUCACCGACGUUCUCCGCCGUUGUGAUCACCUGGGCAUCGCGACCGGGGCUCUCUGGACGCGUGAGGUAGGAGACGCUCUGGUCACCGUUGGAUCUUCACCGACGGCGUAGAUUAGACUGGGUCUAGCGCUUUAGAGUAUCGCAUCUGGGGCGUUAGAUCGAGAUCCGAGGGCCACAGCUCGAUCUCUCCUUCAUUAAAUCCGGGCGGCUGAUCUCAUAUCGGAUGGAGGGGAUCGCAUACCGGUUCGCGAUGUAAUCUUGGCCGCUAGAUCAUAAUCUAGCGACACAGAUUCGCCCACCAUUAUGACUGCCUGGUAGUUUUAUAGAAGAGCCCCUGGAAAUUACUAGAAAUAACCCGCAGUCCCAUUCUGGGAGUAGAUGAGUCUUAGCAUAUCUUGCGCAGAGGCCCCUAUGUCUCUGUUUAAUUGGCGCCCAGUCCUGGGAAUUAGAAAAAUCCAGAAAAGUAAUUAGGAAAGGAAUUUCUAAUGUAAAAAUAAAUACUAGGACUUGUUUAAUUCAUAUAAAAUUCAUAUUAAGCCUAAAUGAGUACAUUCCAGUUCUUAUAAUUUUAUAAUAUUAUCGAUUAUCAAAUAGUGCCACUGAUUUGACAUGAAAGCCACUUUAAAAUCUAUUUCCUAAUUAAUCUUAUAUGAAAUACAUAAAACCUUAGGAAAUUCAUAACUUCUCCGCUUUGACUCCGAUUUGAUCCGUUCAAGUUGCGUUAGUCUCAUAGAAACGCGUAGAUCAUUAUUUUGCAGUAUGUUCUUAUGUUUGGUGUGAUGUUAAUUUUGUCUAUACCAUGUAUGUUUGUAUGGCUACGACUAGUAGUGAGGUUUCGAGGAUUUGAAGAAUCACCCUGGUAAUUGGAAUCUCAAGUCCUAGGCAAGUUGUGCCCUUGAUCACUUCUUUUACCCACUCAUGUUCUAAUUAAUCAUAAUGAGCUGCAUAGGUUAAUUUUGAUGGGACCCAAUAGGUUACCCUAGUUUGUCUAUCUUUAUGCCUUGUUUACCACUGAACUUUUUGGGUAGUACUUGCUAGUGCUAUAUGUGGUUUUGGGCAUUGAGAUACACAUUAUUCAUGAUUAUACUUUUGUUAUCCGUUGUUAUUUACUGUUCAUGUCAAGAUCAUUAAUGUUAAUUGGAACAUAGAGCUUAACUUGAGAAACACGUGCCACCACAAGGGUUUAUGGACGCCCUUGGCUGAUUAAUUAGGAAAGCUAGUGGAGGACUACCUUACCCGAAAGGGGCAAGGGCAGUAGGGGAGUGGUCAGUGUAGGGAGGCCCUCGGGAGGAUUUUGCUGCGAUGGUGGUCCUGCAAGGGAUUCCUGCAUUGGAGCUUCCUAUAAACUGUAGCGGGUUUUCUGAAGCUAGUGGAACUUUGUAAAGGCCUCGUAGUGUUACCCUGCCUCGCCUCCUCGGUAGAGGUGUAUGGGAAGUCGCGAUCCCUUGGCAGAUGGGUAACAUGACUUGUGGGUAAAGGGUACCACCUCUGCAGAGUGUAAAACUGGUAUACUAGCCGAGCUCACGGUCAUGAGCAGCUCAGGACUCUCUGAUGAUUAAUUUAUGGAACUAAAUUCAAUUUGUCAUAUGCAUUGCAUCGCAGGUGAUGAUGUUACUUUUGUUCCACUACUUAAUUGGGUUGGUAUUUACUUAUACUUAGUAAUUGCUAAUAAAAUUUUGACCAACUUUAAAAGCAAUGCCCAGCUCUAACCAUCCUCUUUGGUAAGCCUUACACUUCACGUGAGCUCCCACCUUUGGCGAGUUCAUGCACAUUAUUCCCCACAACUUGUUGAGCGAUGAACGUAUGUGAGCUCACUCUUGCUGUCUCACACCCCCCCCACAGGUCAAGACCAGGUACCACAGGAUGAGGCGCUUGGAGGAUGCUGUGAUGUGUUCGUGAGAGAUCUAGGCCGUCGUCUCCCAGUCAACUUUGGGUUGCUGGACCGUUGUCUCCUUAUAAUGUAAUUAUUUAUUUAUUUUGUAUGGAAUUCCUGUUAUGUAGUAAAGAUGUGACAUUCGAUCAUGUGCCAUGAUUCAUCAUAUGUGUGAGACUUGGUCCCAGCACACCUGGUGAAUAUGUUCGCGCCCGGGUUUUGGACCCCUAAAAUCCGGGUGUGACAAAUCCAUUCAUUUCAUAUAAUUUGCAAUCCAAACUUAAGGUCAUGUUGCAACGAAGAACUGCUUUCAUGACACUAUGCACAUUUCAUUUAGCACAAAUAUCGACUCCAUACAAAUCAACCAUUUAUUCAAUUAACGGAAACAACGAAUCGACUUACCACGACUAAACUCGAAGCGACGUCCACGAACACAACGAAGGUUUUGGGUUCGGUCCUUCUACCGAACACUUAAUAAUCGUCACACGGGCUUCGGUUCUUCACCAUCGGAACCUAGGGGUUUCUCUCCUCACAAGCAUACAAAAAUAUACACAUGGUUAGCCUCUACUUAAUCUACGCCGAGUACAUGUACUAGCAAGGAAUAAACACAAGAAAAACAGAGUUCUCACCGGGGUUCGACGAAGUGGUGAUCGGGUCGGCAUAGAUCGAGGUGGAGCUCGCGGUGGUAUUUCAUCGAGCACAUCGAGGGCGCGACACGAAGGGGUUUCAUAGUUGUUGCUGCUCAAUGACCUUGGGAGCAUGGGCUGGACAUGUGCUGCAUGAAGCCGAGAAGGGCGCGGUCCAGUGAAGGAAAUCGACGACGAGGUGUGCUUGGUCGGACAGGGAGAGGAAACGGAGGUGGAGACCGAGCUGGGAGUGGGCGCGAGCUGCGCGAGCGCAGACCUGAGGAGGGGCGAGCACCAGGGAGGAGAGGAGCUCGGCGCCAAGGGGGAAACAGGGACGGCCGGUGUGCUGGGACGACACCAUGGCGCGGCGAGAGACGAGGUUGAGGAUGGCCGGACCAAGACUGGGUCGAUGAUCUCCCAUGGCGAACACCACCAGAGAGCGACGGGGUGGGAGAUCGGCGAGGGCGCACUAGAGAACGACGACGUUGGAGGCCAUGGCGUGCUCCACGGCUUUAGAGGGGGCGACGACUAUGGAUGGGGAAGGUCAAGGGAACUCAGCCGAGUGCUCGACGGAUGUGAGGCCAUGGGCUGGGCGAGAAGAGGGAGCCGCCAUGGGGGAGCGUGAACCUCCCUGGUGGCCGACGAGCAGGGAGAGAGAGGGUUGGCGUGGGAUUGAAGAAGUUGGAGGAUGGGCGGCGUGAAGAUAAGCCUAGAAGCUUAAGCAACAGAGAAGAAAAUUAUAGAUUUUCUUUCUUUUCUUUUGUUUUCCUUUCUCCCUACAUACAUAUAUGUCUCGGUUCUGAAAUUCAUGUUUGAGUGGGGUGUAAAUGGAUCGAAAAGAGAUGACAGGGAAAUAAGAUGCGUACACGUGUUCUCACGGGUGAUGUCACGUGUCGUUCUUGUAGGUGAGAAGCUAUACGCUGUCCCCUCACAGGUUCGCACCCGCCACACGCGUCAUGAUGUCAGGCUACAGAUAGACUUGUGCGACGCAAGCUUGAACGAAUUUCAAACGAAUUUUUUUCUAAGGAACCACAUUUAAUUUCAAAGAUUAUAGUUUGGGGCAAGAUGUCGAUGGCUUAACCCCAAACGAUACUGGAUUUGAUGUUUCGGAAGAUUACUAAAGUCUGAAUUUUUGCAAAAUAAUUUAGGACAAUUUAAACAGAUGGAGACAGACACGAUAUCAAAAUCGCGAUAGACAAAGAUGAUCAAAAUUUAGUGUACAUUUUAUUCACCGCUAUCACGUUUUAAAGUCCGCACUCGUGGUCGAGCAGACGAUAAACACCUGGGGUGUUACAGCCUUCCCCCCUUAAAAGAAUCUCGUCCCGAGAUUCAGAACGAAAGACUUCUAAGAGUAGAGAGGCGUAUAACCCUGUCCAUAAUAGUGAUAGCAUAAACUAAUUUCAAGUAAAGACGAGCAUCUCAAAAUGUUGCUUCUCUAGUGGGUAUAGCACAUACCACUUUAGUUUAACUAGAGACGUCAACAAACAAGAUAUAACUGACAAAAGAACACAUAAGGUUCCAUAUGUGCAGUUUGCUUUUUCUGAUGACACUGUACUAUCUGAGUCUGUUGGGCGAGCGGUAGAUAUGCGACUUUACUCAAACAGAAUUAGUUGCAACCUCUUGGGUAAAACACAUAGAAAGAGGUUUACCAACAAGUGGUUAUUGGAAAUUCCUAGCACAUAAGACAAGGGUGGAUGUCGAAUAACAUCACCGUUAACUCGUGGUUAGCCAGGGAAUCCAAGUUUAAGAAAGACGAUAAAAGUUUGAGAAAACACCAAUGUAGUGAUCCGUAGAUGUUGACUUCGUGAUCAAACCAUCCUAUCAAACAUUAAGCAUAGCUCCACUUGAUCACACGGGUGAGAAAACCACAUGUGAGGCAAUUAAGGCAUGACUGGAGCAAUGAUUAGGUGGUUGCCAGACGACUUCACUUGAUCUCUUUGUAAGCAUUUCCUUAGGAUGGGUGGAACUAAAGUGAGUUUAGACAACUCGAUAAAACAAUCUCUAAACUUAACCUUUGUUCAUUGGGCAGUUGCAAGUUAGUAAAACCAACUUGUUGAACUACUUUUGACAUUGAGUAGGUCCUCUUAUUAUCGAUCGGCAAGCCAGGGUUCGAGAGUUCACUUUCAUUAGCCAGAGGUCACGUAUUUGGAUAGAUAUCCACUUAAUCAAAUUUUUUCAUCCAUGCUCUAUUCGCUUUAGAAAAUGUAUAACUCAAACAAGAGAGCGAAUGGACAAACUCCUGCAGUUCAGCAGCAGGGAAAACAAAUCUCCAUUUUGGGGAACUAAUUAGUUGCCUUUCAACACUAAAAAGCUCCAAGACUUCACCUUUACACAAAGGACGUAAAGGGACCUUGUAUGUGUAGUCACACAAAAAUCAAAAGAAAAGAGAUCACACAUGAAAGGGGUGAUUUACCACAUGAUUAAAUACAGAUAGGUUUCAAUUUUUGAUUAAGACUGUUGAAUGGUAGAAAAUUUAUAACAAAUACAUCAAAGUUAGAUACCCUUUUGAUCCAAUAGUGAUGGCGUAGGUUGUUUGAUUGUUUCAGCAACAACAACAAAAAAAUGUUUCAAAGGAGGAGUCCACGGAAGAUCACACAUCAGUGUAGUACCACAAUGGAUCAUGACCAAGGACCUCGAUACCAGCAUGCGCCAAGCAGCAUAACCUUGCAUGUACAUUCACAAGAGGCUCUCAGUUUCGCUGCGGCAUCAUAAGUCCUUAAUCAUGACACCAUUACAGAACUGGCACCGAUAAUGAAUCUCACGUGGUAAGAACAAUUUGCUCAAAGAUAACAUAUCGAUAUAAUCUCAUAAUGGAUUAUGACUACUAACUAUGAUACCAGUGCGUGCCAAGUAGCGCAACCAUGUGUUGAUCACCCACAGGAGGCCCUCGGUUUCGUCGCAGCACCAUCGGUUUUAGUCAUAACACCAUUACCAGAUGUAACCAAUAAGAAAUCUCACACAGUACAAAUGGAUUGAGCAAGGGUGACAAUAUCCAAAGAGAUUCUACUUGUAAGGAUGAUUACAAGUAGAGAGUCAAACAGAUCAUGGCCAAAACUUAAAUUGAAUGAUGAAGGAAGUAUGAUGGGAGACUGUUAAUUCAGCCCAAGCAUAUUUCUAUGCCCAUCGCAGAGAUUAUCAAGUCAACGGUUAGUGUCUGAGUAGAUAUAGAGGGGGAAACGGUCAGGAGGUCAAAUUGGUAUGCCUUCGAGAGAUAUGAGGGAACCAAAGGCAUUAAAUUCAAGAAAACUAUUGGGCAUUCAUUUCCUAGGUUAGAUUAAGAAAGCAACAAUGUGAUUCUCGUGGAGAGGCAAAGCAGAAUAGAACCAUCAGCUUGCACCAAACAAACAAGGGUAUGGUUUAGGAUGAAAAUAUGACCACAACAUAGUUAUGAAUUAAUUAUUAGGAACACAGACUCGAGAUCCUCAUUAAAGUCCGCGUACAUCUUAUGUCCCACAAAGAGAUUAUCAAAAAUUUCAUUUGCACGAGUUUGGCCACGAAGUAGUAAUGGAUAAUCUAAAGUCAUCCAUGUUUUGAAGAUUUAGAGGGACUUUGAAGAAAUGACAAAAUUAUAAAUUAGAUCUCAUACAAUUUCAAAUAUUGAGAUGAUGAGGACAUGACUUGGUCUAAUUGCUAGAACAACAAUAAUCUUGUGAAGAAAAUGAUCCUCACACAAGACGACACCUAGGAUAGAUUGUCAAGAAAUUAAUACAUGUUUAGAUCAAGGUUCACUAAACAGGGACAUGACCUAGCUUUGGGUUUAUGCAAACAAACUACCUGCAUUCUACUAGCACACAAGCACGAAAACAAACCCAAGUUGCACUAGCAGUCAAACUAAGAAGAAUCACAGGCCACAUAAACACAUGUCUAAAGGACACAACAAACAAAGCUAGAAAUUGCUUAUAGAACAGUAAUACUUCAUACAAUUUCCCAAUUAUUUAUUAUCGGAAUAAAGAUGAGAAAAGCAUGUUCGUUCACAAUCACCAAUUAUUAGAAUAAGGGUGAGAGAAGCAUAUUUGUGCACAAACAACAAACACAAUGCAACAAUCAGGAUGCAUGAUCGUCCUAUUCGUCCUCACGAAUUUCGCCAACAUAAUGUGGCAAUAGUGUUCUAUAUCGGUGGCAUAUCUACGUUCUCUCUCGAUAUGUUGCUAGUCGUCAGCUACACAUACGAGUUCGAAGUUAGUGUACCUGCAGAAAAUUCCAUCACAGCCCAGUUCCCAAUGAUGCAAUUCACACAUGAUAGUUUAGCACAGUUUAUACUCCAUAUAUUUCUAUAUGGAGGCCAGCUCCUCAUUAAGCGUCGAGCCACGCAUAGGCGCCGCUGCCACACUUUAACCAUAGGGCAGCUCAUUAUGGUAACUCACCUUUUUACCUGAGCGUAGGUACGUCGUUGCGAGUACAUUACACGUCUCAGUAUUCCCAUGUCUGCAUACCCAUACACAUCCAUGGGGUACUGAAUCCCAGAAAAAUAAAUACUCCACAUCACAGCUUUCAUAUAUACAUAUGUGUAACAUGUAUAUAAUCAAGCACUUUUUAUACUCUCACCUAGAUCGACGUUUGUCCCGUCAUGCUCUCACAUCUCACCUUACCUGAGCGUCGAUCCAUUCAAGACUGAAUGGCCUCAAAAAUAACAUUACACAUGUAUGCAUUACCCUUCCCAGGUUGUGGGUUAGUAUUCUGAACUAAGCCACCUAGUAGUCCUUAACUUAGGGCUUAACAGAGGAUGUCGCUAGCAUUAUAGUUUUUCAAAUCUGUUUUUUAAAACCAAACAAUGUUUUUAGCUGAAAAUAGGUUUUUCGAAACUAAAACUUUUGUUUUGAAAAUAUGUAUGUGACCGUAUAUACUUAAUCCUGCUCCGAUACCAGCUGUCGCAGAACCUCCCAAGUUAUUGGGCCCACAUGCACCUGUCCUUGUCUCAAAGACCUUAGACGGCUAUGCAUGUGCACCAAACAACUUAACAGGAUCUGUCCGAGUGCCCCAAGGACCCCGGAUAAACGACUUACCGUCAAGAUCGCAGGAUUAAGUAAACACAAAUCACACACCAACAUUUAAAGCGGAAAUUCUUUAUUACAAAAUGGUUACAAGUUACAACAGUUACAAGUUAUAACAAGUUUACAAUAUAUAUCAUCGGAGUUGAUUACAAAAGAAAUUGAUUCAAAAAGAUUACAAUUUGAAUGUAUAAAACAUUUAUAAGUUUUAAAAUACAUGCUAGCUUAAGAGACAAUCCUCGAUAGAGAAGCUAAAGAUGGGAUAUACUUAUAUAAGAAGGCCGAGCCCACCGGCACUUAGCACCAUCCACAAC
This 58528-nucleotide long non-coding RNA is filed under the name Zea mays. Its description in RNAcentral is "long non-coding RNA (ZMAY_LNC005423)". The record is from RNAcentral. Lineage: Eukaryota; Viridiplantae; Streptophyta; Magnoliopsida; Poales; Poaceae.